This 60701-nucleotide long non-coding RNA is filed under the name Setaria viridis. RNAcentral's name for it is "long non-coding RNA (SVIR_LNC007217)". Lineage: Eukaryota; Viridiplantae; Streptophyta; Magnoliopsida; Poales; Poaceae. The record is from RNAcentral.
CUCGCUGUUCUCUUACUGUGUCUAGUUAUAGGGCAGAUACAAGUGGAAGCUAAGAGCUGCUGCCCAUCCACCACUGCAAGAAAUGUCUACAAUACCUGCCGUUUCACGGGUACAUCCCGUCCAACGUGUGCAAAACUGUCAGGCUGCAAAAUUAUCAGCGGGAACAAAUGCAAGCCCCCUAACGACCACCUCACCCUUGACCCGGACACUGGUAAAUAAUAAAUUUAUCUCACUUGAUUUCUUCGUGAUUUGAGUCGUUAAUGUAUUUUCCAUCUGAUGAAACGUAUUGGUUUUGCAUUGAAGAGGAAGUUAAUGUGCUUAACUUCUGCAAGUUGGGGUGUGCGUCGUCUGUGUGCAACAACAUCAACGCUGGUAAGCAACUUUUGCUCAGACAGAGAAAACAAUAAUCAUUAAUUAGCGGCAGCUAGAAUCCUAUAAUCUAAUAUAUAUAUAUAUAUAUAAUUUUAUCAGCUCUGGGAAAUGAAGAGGCGAACGAUGCCGUUGAGAGUUGCGACCAAGCCUGCUCUAGCUUCUGCAGCGUGCAUGUUGGCAGCGCCACCGUGGUUGCUUAAGCAAAUGCAUCCAACUAGAUCGUCCUUGUGCUGAAUAAUUGGAUAUCGUAUCCACUUAAAGCUGCCUUGUGUAGUACGUCUUUGUGUCUCUCUUUAUAUUCCAAUAAGGUCGGUGAUCUUGAUGCCACACACUCAGAUGUGUGUUCAUCUCCAGAUACUACUCCAUGCUACCUGCCCUUUGUGUUUUGUUCAAUAACUGGGUAUCAUAUCCCAGCCAGUAUGCCGUCUGUUUUGUGUUUGUUUCCUUCUAGUUCCAAAGGGGUCAUCAUGAUGUUACCUUCUUUCAAUAUGGUGCUUUGCAUGACUACUGUUGUAUGGUACCAUCUUGUGGCCAAUAAGUACAUCUUAUCCUAUGACCUUUGCUAUGACCCUUUGCAAAUAAGUAGAAGAUUGUUAUAAGCGUCAAUACUCCGUAUAAAUUGAUCGCUGCUGUGAGUUCCCUUUCAGCUUAUCGUAGGCAUACAUUAUUGCUAGCACGGUAAAGCCAACCAACACGAAUGAUGAAGUAAACGUAGCGGUACUUCUGUAUACCAACACCCUUACUUAAAUGUACCGGUGUCAUUCCCUACUGGCACAUAUAUUCUUAUAUGCUAGCCAGCUUGUAAAAUUAACCAAUUAAAAUAAUUAUUUCAAGAUAGAAAUAACUUAUCGGUUUCUGGAAGCAUGUGUAAUGUGAAUUCAAGGACUCGACGGAAGUUGAAUCACUUCAUCUAUAUUGCUUUCAGUAUUUUGGGUAACUAAAUUUAACAUUUGCACAUACAAAUGUUAAAGUACAAAUGUUAAAUCUAGUUACCCAAGCAGAAUAUGAAGAUAGUUUAUAGUAUAUAUAUACUAUAUAAAUCUAGUUAACAUUUAGUCUAAAUGUUAAAUCUAGUUACCUAAAAUCCUGAAAGCAAAAUGUAUAAAUAUAUAUCUUUUAAGGCAGUAUAAGCUUCGAUUCCUAUUGCUGCUCUGUUAAAUCUCAUCUUUCGUUGUGGCCCAACACUCUAGUAUGCAUGUUGCACCAAGCUUCUUUGAGCCGCUCUGCCCUCUGAUUUUGCUGCGUAGGGGAAUCUUUAUCAGGUUGGGCUACUUCCAGUUGUGCGAUGUAAAGAUUCGUAUUUUCUAGAAGGUAGACAAAAAACUCGCGUUCUCUUAAGGCAACAACCGGAAGAUUCUGCAGCGCACAGGGCAUACCAUUAUUGUAGAAACGACCUUUAGUACCGAUCUCCAACCCCCUUUAAAACUGGUUUUGCAACCGGUACCGUUAUGUCGGUCCUUUAGUACCAGAUCAAAUAAGUACCGGUUGGUAACCAGUAUCAACUUGUUUUGCGGCCAAAAAAAUAAAGAAAAAAACAGUCAGAAGGCUCGCGCACACGCGCAUCACAUGAAAUAUGCGUGUGCGGGGUCCAUGGGAUUCGAACCCAUGAAAUCAAGCUGCGCGCGACCCUUCGUUACCAUCUCACCUACAUAGCGCAUAUGCUUUCCUGAAGUAACCCGUGGAGGAGGCUUUAGUACCGGGUCAUAACACCACCCGGUACUAAAAAUGACUCUUCAGUACCGGGUCAUAACACCACCCGAUACUAGUAUCGGAUGGUGUAAUGACCCGAUACUAAAAGGCCUCUAGGGACCCUCAAAUUUGAACCCGGUACUAAUGCUAAUAUUAGUAGCGGGUCAAAGUGCAGCCAGAACUAAAGCAUGGGAUGAAAGGUCAUAUUUCUAGUAGUGUAUAGUUGUUGUGAAGGACUGACUUGGCUGUCCUCUCUCUUCUCCAUCCCCUUGGUCUUACGCCGCCGCUCGCACGCGAGCCGGUGCCCAACCAGAGGAGUGAGAGCUAGGGGCAGGUUGGGAGGUGGGGAUAGUGACUGGUGGCCAGGGUGAUGGUUGAUCCUGGUGGGGUUAGGGUUUUAGGGUUUUCGAGCUUCCUAUGGUCGGCGAACCUAGAGGAGGAGCUCAACAUCAGCUGCAACCCGCGAUGGUGGUGGUUUGGCCGGCGCCCGAGGCGAGGCAGCGCGGGAGUGCUGCCGGUGGGUUGGUGUUGGCACUCAUUAUUGACAACUAUUUUGUUCAUAAAAUAACACUCAAACUUGCUGCUGCUGCUGCUGCUGCCAUCGCCACCCUAGCCAUAAUAUAAAGGCAAAAUUUGCUAAAGGACAUGCAAAAUGAUGCUAGUUUGCUGGCGGGCAUCGUUGACCUUGUAAUAUGCUACAAGACACUCUAGUUGUGUAUCAAUUUGCUGAAAGACAUUGCUAUGACUAAAAUAAUGUUUCUGGACUGAGUUGGAGAGAGAGAUGGAGUGAAAUGUCUGUUUUGCCCAUGACCCCACUGGUCAGAUCCUUCUUCUUCCACCCUCCUUUGUUCUUUCUUCAACCAUUACCCAGCUCCAGCGUGUUGCAGAUCUACGAGGGUGGCGGCCUGGGGCGAGGGGCAUCGCUCGCCCUUGGAGGAGCGCUGCGAGCGACGGCGCGGGGGCGGCAACAGCGCGUCAGAACCUGACUGUUCGUUAGCUCCUCUCGCUGCUGGGGAAGGAGGGGGAUGGGCCAUGGACGGGGUUCCCUUGAAAACCUCAGCGUCGAGCUCGGGCGGCUACGCGCAGGCAGCACUAGGCUGCUUCACGGGGAGGGGGCGCGGCCAAUCAUUGGCACCCCACUGGUCCAAUGCUGAUGAAGAUGGUGCCAGCGUCGUGUGAGGACAUCUCAUCUCCUCGAGUUCCAUGGCCAGCACAGGUGAGCUGCCGCUACCACAAAACAGAGGUUUCGUGAGAGUCAAAAAACCUUAUGAAAAUAGCUAAAACCAUCAUGAAAAUAAUCCGUGACAUGACACUCUCACGAAAAUCCUCUCACAAAUAUGGUGCCAUGAAAAUACCAUUUUCAUGAGAGUGAACUGUCAUGAUUUUAUUUCGUGAGAGUAUUUCCUAUCAAUGACCUCCACGAAAUACUUUGUGCCACCAGGUCUUCAAGAUCAUUUUCAUGAGAGCUGAACAUCAGGAAAAGUCCGCCACAAAUGUUUUUCUUGGAGCCCCUAACUCUCAUGAAAAUCAUGCGGGCCGCCACGAAAAACAGCAUGACCAAAUGACAAAUUUCAUUUUCAUGUGUUCAUACCGCCAUGAAAAUGGUCAUUUUCAUGAGAGUUGAUGAAACAAAAAAUAGUGCCAUUUUCAUGAGAGUUCAAGCAACCAGGAAAAGACACUAAUAAACAUCCAGAUCCCAUCCAGCACACAUCCAUGCACAUAUAUAACCCACAUAUUGCUCCAGCACACAUCCAUGCAUAUACAAGAUCCAAAUGUUAAUAUAGUAGACAUCCAUGCCUGAACUAGUCUGCCACACAAGUCAUUGAUGCUACAAAUCCUACAAUCGCAGCAUGUGCAUACAAGUCACAGAAUGAGACAAUGUACCCAAAACUAAAAGGUUAGCAUCAACUGUGCUUCAACCAAAGUUGUCAUCCCAACUCUCCUCUUCAUCCAUGCCAUUCUUGUCGUGGCCGUCACUGUCAGUCCCCAUGGCAUUGCCAAUGCUGUGCAUGUCUUGGUAGGAACCUACAUGUGAUGAACUAGUAACCUGCAAAAAGAGCUCAAAGGAUCUUGUUCUCAUAUUGUAGCUGUGAAAUUCUUACAAGUAGUGUUGCAAUCAGUUCACUUUGAACCAAAAGAGCUCAAAGGAUCUUGUCCUAAAAGUUCCUCAUAAAGCUUAUGGGUUUGCUGGUGGAACUGGAAGGGCUUGAUGCAGCAGAUGCCAUUCUGCAAUAGAGAAAAAUUUAGAGAGCAGUACUAGUUAAAAUUGGAUGCAGAAGAUACACAUGAAACUAGUAUUUAUACAAGUCUAUACAAUUAAAAUCUAAGGAGACUUAUCAUCGUUUUCAUGUGUUGUGAAUUAAAAUAAUGAAGGAUACACUGUUAGGUGAAAAUUCAAGAAACAAAAUUUUGCAUAGAGAUAAAGGUCCAACAUUAUUACAAGUUAAGGUAGUUUUAAAUAUCCUUGUAAUCUUCCUUUGGUUUCCUCAACGAUUCGAAGACAAUAACCUUGCUUCUAUCAAUGAUAAUUAUAAGGAGAAUCCAGUGGAAACUGUGUAUUCGUAUUAGAACUACCUAAGGUUAAUUAGGUUAGGAAAGGAAAUUGAAAAUAGAUGGUACCCACACUUACUUAAAGUUGUCGGGCAAUAGUAUGUAAUGCUUGUAAUUCCGUUGCUCCAAGAAUUUGUAUAUGUGGUCCAAUGUAGACUUUGGUUGAUCCCGUAUCUGCUGUUGGUUAAAUAAGUGUUUCUAGCCAUUUCUAGCCAUUAGAACCGGGACUAAAGGGGGCUCUUUAGUACGGGUUGAUAUUACUAACCGGGAUUAAAGAGCCCCCAUUAGAGUUGGUUUUUGGAUGCGGAACUAACAACUCCUUUAGUCCUGAGUACGAAAACAACUGACAUAUUUGUUGCUGGAUGGAAGGUCCUUUCUCUACCGUGAAUAUUGCCAGAAAGAAUUGAAAGAGACUGCUUGCUAAAAAUAUGUCAUAGAUGUAGACCAAGCUACCAAGGAGGUAGACCAAACAUGAUACACACCAUGCGUACCUUGCUGUGCAGACUAUGCAUUGACAAGAUACCCGACCACAUGUUGGCCUCGGUCACAUCAAAAGAAUCAUGUAGGCCACCAAUAAACUACUUGAAGCGGCAUUCCGUAUCGUAUAUGCAUUGCCGGUUCAUCUGCAUUACAUUACAUAAAGCACUAUUAACUAUUUGAAUAAAAUGAACCAAUUUAAAAGUAAUGUGUUGUACUCUACUAUAGAAAGCCCUAUCACUGCCGGAUCCAAAAACAUCAUUGUUAAUGGUGGUUAAGUACCAAAUAUGACGGUCAAUAUUCUCAAGAAUAAUGGAGAAUUAGCAUUUCUUAGACACAUAUUUGGUUUUGAACAAUGUAGUUCCACAUGUCUUUGGAGAUUAUUUGGGUGUGGGUGAAAUAAUACAAAAAUAAGGAGAAAACACACUCCCAUGGCGAAGAAACACAACUCCAACCAAUGAGAGAUAGCCACAGGGGCAGCACACGGAUCCAUGGGCCCACUAACCGCAUCAAACCAUCUUACCAAGGCAGGUAGCACCCACAACCGUCAUUAGGACCCACCUGGAAGUCUACCAAGAAGAAGGUUGCGAGUGGGGCCAGGAGGGGUUCGGUUGAAUCAUCUCUAGCUAGCUCCCCUCAUCCCCAGCUGGUGGGUGGUGGUGGUUGAUGGUGUCCCUACAUCAGUUAGAGGAGAUUCCCCCAAAUAUUCCUCCUGUAAACCACCUCUAUGGACCUAUACAUAGAGGGGUGUGCUCUCCAUUCCAACACACACCACAAGUUGAAUCACUCUCUCCCUCUUUAGUUUCCAAGUUUAUGGAGUUAGGCUAGAGUAGCUCUGCUCAAGGUUCCAAGUCCACUUGGAGUUAAGCAUAUGUCUCUUGUAUCGUUAUUUCCUAAAUUGACUUUAUGCUUAGUUCUUAUAUGCAUGAGUUAGUCUAAUACCCUUGCUAUAUUGAUAUGCUCGGCUUAUAUGCUCGUAUGCUAGUCAUAUACCCUUGCUGUCGUAGUAUAGGCUUAUAUGCUCUCAUGUGUGCCUGUAGACCUUGCUAUAGUAUAUACUUGUUGUGCAUACAUACCAUGUAUAGGCUAGUCGAUCUAUACCAUGGCAUUGGUUCAAUAGCCAUGUUUUUGGUGGCUCCAACCCUAGUCACAAUAGCUCGGGACAGCUGGAGUGUUGUUAAAAAUGCAAGAGUGGUGCUUGGGUUGUUUAGCAUCGUUGGAUAUGGGUUUGCCCCACGGGUUUCUAACGGUAGGCGGCAGCUAGUGACAUCCCUGUCCGUCCUUCGUAAUCCCCCCACAUUCAGGUACGCCAUAAAUGUUCGUAAAUUAGCAGUAACUACGCCGGUACACCUGUAGGGUAUUGUCUCCCUGUAGUACCUUGGUGCAUAGAACUAAGUCCUAUACACUGUGUGUGUAUGUUUACGCUGAUAUGAUCUGUGCAGUAUAUAGGAUGUAUAUAUGAACCUAGAGCUAACUCCUAGUCCGUUCUCCAUAGCUUAGUUAUCUUGAGAUGAUUCUUCUGUAUGUGUAACACUACCCAUCUUAUCAUUAUCCUUGAUCCUGUCUUGUGUAAUAUAUCUACUCAUCCUAUGAUAUACUCAUAUGCAUAGUAAACUAUUUUGACCUACCCGCCUUCCUUUGGGAAAUAUGAUACCUUGGAAUAAUCCUAGGUGAAAUCCUACAACGGUAUAUCCAUGUAAAUGCGGAUUUAUUCAUGACCAUUAAAUAUACCAACAAUCAUCACUGUGAGUUUUGGGCGUCGUUAGUGAAGGGUUGGUAGUGAUGGGCAUCCCCUUCACCAAUGGACCUGGAACCGGCGGUGAUGGCUAUUAUAAAAAAGGGGACACCACCCAGCGUACCCCACGACCCGGCCGGCCGCACCUCCCAUCAUCCCCGCCAGCCGCCCUUCCUUUUCGCCGGCCGAGCAUGGUCCCGGCCUUUGUCCCUACCACCUCGCCUCCACCGCGACCCCCCGCCGAUGCCCUCGUGCCUGGCCCCCCUCAUCUUGCCGGCCACCCUCCCGAUGCGUCCACUGGGGCCCUCGCACCACCAACCGCCCUUGCUUAGAGAGGGAGAGAGAGGAGGGAGGUGAGGCCACGCACCUCGUCCUACACCGCCGCUGUUUCUCCUCGGCCCACCGCGCCUCACCCCACACCACAGCCGCGCCUUGCCAUCUUACCGGCUGUGACGCCUCAUCUCACCGGCCACCGUUCCUCACCCCCACUUCGGUCGUCGCCGCUCCUUGCCCUACCGCUGCUCUUUGCCGCUGCGAAUGAGCGCCGAGUGGAGGAGGAGGGAUGGGGCAGGAGGAGGGCAAGAUCCGGGAGGAAGGGAGAGAUCUCGGGAGGUGGAGAUGGAAGGAUAUGGCGGAAGGGAGAGAUCCAGAGGGAGAGAGCAGGGGAGAGAGGGGGGCGUGUGGGGAGAGAGCGCGUGUGGGGUGGGGCCGGGCUGGUGGGAUGGAAGGGAGAGGGGCUAGACGGGCGCAGUGCAUUCAACUGGAUGAAGUAAAUAUUUUGGAUUCGAGACCCCAGCUUUAUUAUCACCGCUGGUCCGUAGUACCAUCCGGUGCCUGCUCGUAAUUUAAUUUGAAUCUGCGGUGAUGUUUUAUUAUCACCAUCGGAUCAUAUAAAAAUCCGGCGGUUAAAAAUCCGCUGGUUUCGAUGAAAACCGACGGUGAUAGGAUGACUGUGAUAGUCUCUUCUCUAGUAGUGGUAUAUUAGUACCGGCUGCCGGAUGGUGUUGCCGACCAGUACUUCUCCGGGGGCGAUUCAGUACUGCUGUUAGCAAAGCUUGUUCUCUAUGAAUUUGGGGAUGGAAAGCUAGUUCUCUAGUUGUGAUUUGUUACAUAUAUAUCUAUGAUAGUCUAGAAAUUGCAUGUCCUUCGUUGACAUAGUUGAAGCUGCUUCAAGAAUUUACUUCGUGCAGUCGUGCAGCAUAUUGGAUUAUCACCUAGACAGGAUACAUAGGUGAAGCAUUGGAUGUGAUUGUGGCCGAUAAUUAUGCAGGACGCUGUUGCAAUCAACCACCAAGAAGUCUGGAGUGAUGGGGUUGCCUCAUCAAUAAUUUUUAUAUAUGGCUGCAGUAUUAUUAAGCCCACGUCAAUAAUUUUUUGUCCGCACCAUAUAUCGAUGGGGUUGCCUCAUCAAUAAUUCGCGCAACCAGACAAGCUGCAGACUCAAUAUGGUACGAAGCUAGUUGCUCAGCCCACAUGCUCUGAUAUAACAUUGACAUCUGCUGAUCUACAGUAUAUAUGACCAGAAAUAUUGUGCCCACCUCAAUAACUUUCUGAAGUAUCGUGGGGAAGAACCUACGCGUACUAUGCCUCGGAACUAACUGACAUAUCGGCCCAGGCGGUCUAGGCCGAUUGGACUGGCUCUUCCUUGUGGCUUCUCACAUCCCCUUCGUCCCCAAGUAAUUUCAGGUGUUCUGUAGUUUUCUUUUCACUUGCAUCUGAGCCUCCUAUAUCAAUAGCUUCGGGAUAAGAAUGCCUCUUGAUAACCUUCCAAAUCCUCGCUUGAUUCACAUUGAUUCCGAAAUCAUCUUGCCAUAUCUUCAGAGACUUAGGUCCUAAGGCAUCAUGGAGGAUUGCUCGCCAAGAAUGAGCACCAUUGGGCUCCUGAGGACCCUAGGCCGAUCAGCCCGGGCUCUAUAGGUCGAUUGGCCCAGGCCCUCUCUGGGCCUGUUGGCCUUCAUCUUUCUUUGAGUCGACGCUUAUUCAGGGCUUUGUCCAAUUAUAGUCCAUUAUAGUCUAAUUUCCUAAAAAACAGAAUGUCCUCCAAAAUACAAUGCAUAUGUGAAAACAACCCAAUUAUUAGGUAUGAUCAAUAGUUUAGGUAUUAAAUUAAUAUUAUUAUUUAAGAUAAACAGGGGUAAAGGGUGUCAUUAAUAACAAGCGCCAACAAGCGUCCUAGCUGUUCAAUAAAUUUUUUCUAGUACCGAUUGGUAACACUAACCGGUGCUAAUAUGUACCCUUUAUUACCGGUUAUUUUACCAGGUACUAAAGGAGACAAGAGCAUCCUAACAUAAGGUUAAUAUCAUCCAUUUCAUGAGUAAAAUACUAUGAUUCAAAAAUAAUUCAAAUCCCUUAAGACAAUACCUAUCAAAUGAGUAAAUUGUAAAUAGAGUAAUCUUGAUCAAACAAUGUCCUAAUGAAACGGAACACUUCUGGUUCGUGUAGAGCACAAUAUAGAAAACAGUAGGGUAGCUGUAUGAUUGACACGUGGUCCAUUAAUUAUUGAGCCAACACUAUGGACAUGUCUUCAUGAGUAGUGUACUAGUCAUAAUACAUGGUAUGCAGUAGGUGGAGGUAUUGACUUAGCCAUGCUAUGAGCACUUAGUUACAACAAACACUUUGCCAUUAUCGAGCAUCCCAAAUCACUACAAAAUCCAUAGUUUACCAUAUACUACAAAAUCUGAGUUAAAAUAAGAGCAUACACGGAAGAGUCCGAAUGCACGGCACAUUGAAUUACUAGACAAAAUUUAUGGGACAAGGUUUUGGGUAACCGCAUGAAAAAUAUUGGAUUUUACUGAACACUUAGUUACAAUUACCAUGCCCGUGAGCACUUAGUCACCACAAACAUUUAACCACUUUAGAUCAUCCUGAAUCCCUAUAAAUUCUAUACCUUACACCGUACCAUGAAAACGACAAGAACAGAGACAGAUGCGGUGAAAAUCUCCAGAGCAAGCCUGAAAUUAAAAUAAGAGGAGGCAGUCACUAUCGACAGGACACGGAGAUUGCUAGCCAUGACAGAGGAAGACAUGAUAUGAUAUUCACCUCUGAAAUGCAGCGUAGACUAAAUGAAGCACAAUUGCAAGUGAGUGUGGCAGAUAAUGGACCAUCGAGACCAUCGAAUGGUAUGAAGCAUGAUUAUCACCUAGACAUGAUAUCCUAGACAGGACGGUGAAUUGUAAAAAGAGUAAUCUUGAUCAAAGAAUGUCCUAAUGAAACGGAACAUUUUUGGUACGUGUAGAGCAAAAUAUAGAAAACAGUAGAGUAGUUGUACGAUUGAAACUGCAUCCAUCGACGUGGUGCAUGAAUUGUUGAGCCAACACUGUGGACAUGUCUUCAUGAACACCAUCUAGUGAGGACAGCAUGCAGAAAAAUAUAAAAACAUGUCAUAGGGAGGCAGACCAAUCUUGCGAGGUAGACGAAACGUGAUACACGAUCUGCCUACCUUGUCGUGUGGAUACCCCAAGUGAAGAUGUCAUAGAGGUGCAGACCAAGCUAGCAAGGAGGUAGAUGAAACGUGAUACACGGCCUGCCUACCUUGCCGUGGAUAUUAGUCCUGAUAUCAUUCUAUUGUUCAAGGAAUAACACUCAAUGCUGCUGCUGCUGCUGACCUGGCUCCAUAAAGUUAUAUUCCUCUAGCCGCUUGCACUAACUUUAUCUGAAGUAUUAUUCUCUCUGCACUGUAUAUAUGGUUACGGAGUUUGCUGGAGUAUCCGGGGGGAAGAACCUACAUAAUAUGUCUUGGAACUAACUGACAUUGAUUCACAGACAAGGUGCUGUUGUUGACAUGGUACAGUAAAUAAUAUAGUUUACCAUAUACCGUAUACCAUUAUAUGUUAGCUAAAAUAAGAGCAUAACAUGUCGCAGGAGUCCAAAAGCACCGGUUGAGGACCAGGUACAUUAAAUUACUAGAAAACAAAAGGGGACAAGGUUUAGGUAGCCACAUGAAAAACAUUUGAAUUUACUGUACCAUGAACACUUAGUUACCAUGCCGGGAGCACCUAGUUAACACUAACAUUUAGCCACUUUAGAUCAUCCCGAAACACCAAUGACCCUCAAUAGCGACAAAUUUUGGUUUAAAUGCCGUCACCAAUGAUCCUCAAUAGUGACGUGUUUAGGUUUAAAUCCCAUCACUAAUAACCCUUGGUAGUGACGUGUUUUGGUUUAAAUCUCAUCACCACUGAUCCUCACUAGUGACGUGUUUUUAGCAACACACGUUAUGAAUGACUUGUCAUUGGUGACAUGUUAAACGCGUUAUCUCAAUGGCAAAUCAAUGGUGACGUGUUUAAAAAAACAUGUCACUGUGAGAGUUAUUGGUGAAGGGUAAUUAAAAUGCAUCACUAAUUUUGUAGCAUUAGUUAUGAUAUAAUUUUGUAACGCAAAAAUCUACCAUAGUAAUGAGGUUUAGAGCCAUCACUAAUGUGGGUUUCUUAUCGUAGUGAUGCAAGCUCUACAAGGUGCUGUUGUUGCCAUUUUAAAGCAUCCCAAAUGACUACAAGAGUCCGGUUGAGGACUAAACAAAUUGAAUUACUAGAACCAAAUGUAUGUCCAGAACAAAGAAAGGGGUCAAGGUUUGGGUAACCGCAUUAAAAACAUUGAAUUUUACUGUACCAUGAACACUUAGUUACCAUUACCAUGCCUUGAGCACCUAGUUACCACAAACAUUAAUUUAGCCACUUUAGAGGUUCCACAAUCACUAUAAAUAAUAUACCAACACCGUACCAUGAAAACAUCAAGAAGAGAGACGGGUACAUGGACCACCAUCAAGUGAGUAGUGACAGCACGCACAAGAAUACCCGGAACCUUUUAGCUUGUCUGUAGUGAUCUGUUUUCUUCGCCACAAAUAAUGAAAGAGGCUGACCAAGCUAGCAACGAGGUAGAGCAAACGUGAUACACGUAGGUUUCAUUCAAGACAUCCAUGUAAGAUUCAUUCAAAACAUUCAUGGAAAUUUCUUGUAAGUUUUCAUGUAAAUUUCAUUCAAGACAUUUGUUAGAGGUGUUGUAUAUACACUUAACGUACAUAUAUCUAUGAUUUCAUGGUUGUUAGUGAUGGCAGAUGAGGAGCAUGCAAGGUGUUUAAUGGAGCAGAUUAUUGCUAGUGGUAGUGGCUCCAACCUGCCCGUAACGUACACCGACGAAGAGGGCAGCCAGGCGGACAUGUUCCUCAACAUGUCCGGUGAUGGCAAUGAAGAGCCCGAGCAAAACCUUGCCGUGACGGAAGGUUCCAUCGAGGUAUAUAUCAUUUCCAUUAUUUUACCCCAUCUAUAAUUUCAUAUUCAUUAUUACUAUGUGCUAAUUAAUGAAUCUUGAACCGUUAGUCCUCUAGAUCAACGAACCGAAAUAAGCCCCGAGGUCUUACAAAGAUAAUGCAGGGAAGGCUUCACAUCAUGGAAGUCACAGAAGAGGGCACAUCGGUUGCUCCCGAACAUGUGGCAAGAAAGUACGUGAGUCAAACCGGGGCAAUCGUAAGGGACAACAUGCCCAUCAGCAUCAGGGAAUGAAAGAGCAAUAGAAAUGAUCUAUACGCACCCCCGGAUACACAAAAGGAUAUGUUGUGGGCAAAUAUCAAGAAACACUUCACAUUUCCCAAAGGAUAUGUUGAAAAAUAUGUGAAAGCGUGGAUGUUGAAGAAGAUGGCCACCCAAUUCCAGACAUUCAAGAAGAUGUUGGAUGCCAACUUCAUCAAGAAGGGUCGAACUCCGGGUUUCAAUGAGUGGCCAAAGUUAAGGGACCACUGGGAGUCGUUUGUCGAAUACAAGACGAGCGAAGGUGGUGCGAGUAAGGUUCACAUCAAUGUUGCCAAUGCUAGCAAGGAGUACCAUCAUCAUCUAGGGCGACGUGGUUACAGCUCUGCAAUUCCCAGAUGGCGCAAGAUGGAACAAGACCUGAUCGAUCGGGGUAUCGUACCAGCAACUCUUGACUGGAUCGAUUGAAAAAUUGGUAUUAUGCUCAUGAAGGCAAUCUGAGCCAAGAGGAUCCGACAUUGGUCUUCAAUAAAACAAUACGUCAGAAGGUCGGAAGGCUUAUUAGGAACAUUGAAGAUGCUAAAGCUGGGAGGUUCAAGGUGGAUAGAGAGAAUGAUGAACUCACAUUGGCCCUCGGGACUGUCAUCUCUAGCACUUCCAGCUCCAGGACUAUCGUCACCACCGGGACCGUCGCUUCCUGCUCGAUCACAGUCUCCAUCUCCAGCACAUCCUGGUGGUGCGAGCGACGACGACAACAACACCCCUCCCUGCCCACCAUUGCCGGGACUAAGACCCGCAUUGAGUAAGGAACCUGCAACACCACUGAAGAAGUCGCGACCACCACCUUCAAGGCAAGUCAGCAAAAGAAGAAAGCAGAGAAGCCUAAACCCACUGAGAAGCCAGCGACUGAUAUGACCGAUGCGGAAAGAUGGAAGGCACUCAAAGAAGAAUGCAGGGAGUGGUUCAGCGAAGGCGAAGGUGAGAAAGUCGUAUGAAUCGAAUUCAAGGAUAUAUAUGAAGUGAACCAUCAGGAUGCCCUUGAUGUCUCUCUCAUCAGCGCCUAGGUUCUGUAAGUGUAUGUUUAUCUAUAAGUAAAUUUUGGCUCAUAUCAUUAUUUUUUUUGCGUGCGUCACCCUACUAACUUCGUCUUCCAUUUUAUGUAGGAUGCUAAUUCAGACGUGCCGCAUAGAAGCGUACUUCCAUGUUGGAUUCAUGGAUCCAUCCCUAGUUAACCAAAAGCCGAUACGGAAGUAGCUAGAGAAAACGUUGGAGGUGGUGUACAACCUCCUGGACAAACUAAACUACAGAAUAGGGGCAAUAUGUGAGGGUCUUGUAGGAUUCCUAGUGGACGAGGUGAUAAAUCCAUAAGGAGAAUAUCAUUCCAACGGACGAGCAUUAGACACACUGAGCAACACCUAGAUGGGAGGAUCCUAGGAAUGACCUCGACAGAUUUUGGUAUAAAUAGUAAUUGUGUAAAUACUAGUUUGAUUUGUAUAGGAAUAUACUAAGAAUUGUAUAUAUAGUAAUUGUACAAAUACUAGUUUGAUUUGUAUGAAUACUAGAUUGAUUUUAUUAUAAAAAAGUUUUAAGUCGUACGUGCAUGCGCCUACAAAGGCGCGGAUGCCUUUUAAUCCCAGUCGGAAAAACAAACUGGUACUAAAGGGGCUCGUGCCGCACCUGGCAUGACCACCCCUUUAGUCCCGGUUGAACGACCCAGGACUAAAGAUCUCCGCGUCUCAAAAAUUUUAUCUCGGAUGCUUUUUAGAGAGAUUUGAGGCCUAUCAACCAAGACUAAUAUCGAGUUUUCUACCAGUGAAACUAACUAACGUUCACAUGGUUUUGACAUUCACCUGCCAUUUGGUGUAGACAAGGGCACCCUAACAUAUGGUUAAUAUUAUUCUUGAAAGAAAAUCCUUUGAUUCAAAAUACUUCAAACCUAAUAAUACAAUACUUCUCACAUCUGAAAAAUAUGAGACGGCCCGACAGUAUUCUAAUCGACGCAAUAAUAUUUUGAGGGCAGCACUACUACAGCGACCCUCAUUCGUGCCGGUGCUGGGACUCCUAUCACGACCCUGAUACAAAUGAGGGUACAUUAUUGGUGCCAGUGCUAGAACAGCCACGAAUAACUUGCUAAACGUGCUGUUACACUCACUACAGGGACCAAGAAGGUAGAUAAAUUACACGACAUAGCCUUGGUUGCCGUGGAAGCGCCAAGAAGGGAGACAAAUUACAGGGACCACACCAUCAAGUAGAUAGUGACAAUAUGCAAAAGAAUACCCGCGCCUGUUAGCAUGUGAACUGACCACACCACGAAACGUGAUACACGGCAAGCGUACCAAGGCCUUGCUGUGCAGACUAUGCAUGGACAACACAUGGUACCUGACCGCUUUUGGCCUCAGACACAUCGAAAAACUGCAUCGUUCCACGUUGUACAUCCAUUGCUAGUUUAUCUAUAUUACAUAAUAUAUUAUUAGCUAUUUGAAUAGAAUGAACCAAUUAAAAAAUUGCGUUGUAUUUUUAGUACCGGCUGCAGGAUGGUGUUACCAACCAGUACUAAUUGGCCUGUAGGAGUGAUGGUUAUUAGACUUGGUACUGUUGUUAGCAUCAUUAACCUAAUUGUGCGCCGUAUGAAUUUGGGGAUGCAAAGCUAGCUCUCUAUGAAUGUGAGGGAUGGAAAGCUAGUUCUCUAGUAGUAAUUAUAUAUAUGACAGUCAAGAAAUCGAACACUAUGCUGCUACGAGUCACCAUCAUUUCCUUCAUUGACAAUCUGACAUAGGUGAAGCUGCUUCAAUAAUUUCCUUCGCGCAGUCGUGGAGCUUAUUGGAUUAUCACCAGGACGGGACACGGAAAUGGCCAGCAAUGAAGCUGAUUGCCGUCUGAGGAAGACUACAUACUUACCUAUGAAAUGAAGCGAUUGCAUAGACUAAUGAAGCAUUGCAUAUUUGCAUGUGAGUGUGGCAGAUAAUUCUGCAGGACAUGAUUGCAAUCCACGCACCAUCGAGAAGACUGGGGCGAUGGGGUUGCCUCAUCAAUAAUCACGUGGAUGCAUGCAUGCAUGUUCCCGCAACCGGACAAGGGUCUGAUAUAUGGCUAUAGUAUUACUGAGCCCACAUCAAUAAUUUCCACUGGUGUAUCGUGUGGGAAGAAUCAACAUACUACACCUCGAGUUCUUGGAACUAACUGACGUUCACAUGCAACCUCCACAAGGUGCUGUAUGCUUUUGACAUUCACCUGCCAGUUCGUGUAGAGAAGGACACCCUAACGUAUAGUUAAUAUUAUCCAUUUCAUGAGUAAAAUACUGUGAUUCAAAAAUACUUCAAAUCCCUUGAGACAAUACUUCUCACUUGACUAACCACUAACCAACCCCGAAACCCUAACUCAACUCCGAACCCUAACCCCUAACGGCAUAACCACUCCGUUUUGCCGGCGAGAUGGAGGAACUGGCUGGAAGGUAGAGAGGGCAGCGGUCCAGGGUUGAAAACGACGGGCGAGCGCAGUAACAUGUGGAGGAGGAAGUGCCACGUAUUCGUUCACCGCUAUUGGGCAGCGACACACGACACGCCCAAUAAGAUCUUCGCACGGUAGAAGGACGUCAUGUAUUCAAUAAUGUUAUUGGUCCCCCAUGUGCAGAAGGGCGCGCGCGUAUGGAAUAACAAGUAGGGACACUGCAACUAAUCUACUCUGCUCGUCCAGUCCCUAGCCUAUAAAUAGAUGCCAUGCUAGCUCUUGUUGUGCUCACAAUUAAUCCGAUUACACACGAGCUUCUCUCCCUGGCCAAGACACAACCAUAGUAUGAUGAAGAACAUGGCACUAGCCGGCAAUGGUAUGAAGAAGUUAAUCCUCGCUGUUCUCUUACUGUGUCUAGUUAUAGGGCAGAUACAAGUGGAAGCUAAGAGCUGCUGCCCAUCCACCACUGCAAGAAAUGUCUACAAUACCUGCCGUUUCACGGGUACAUCCCGUCCAACGUGUGCAAAACUGUCAGGCUGCAAAAUUAUCAGCGGGAACAAAUGCAAGCCCCCUAACGACCACCUCACCCUUGACCCGGACACUGGUAAAUAAUAAAUUUAUCUCACUUGAUUUCUUCGUGAUUUGAGUCGUUAAUGUAUUUUCCAUCUGAUGAAACGUAUUGGUUUUGCAUUGAAGAGGAAGUUAAUGUGCUUAACUUCUGCAAGUUGGGGUGUGCGUCGUCUGUGUGCAACAACAUCAACGCUGGUAAGCAACUUUUGCUCAGACAGAGAAAACAAUAAUCAUUAAUUAGCGGCAGCUAGAAUCCUAUAAUCUAAUAUAUAUAUAUAUAUAUAAUUUUAUCAGCUCUGGGAAAUGAAGAGGCGAACGAUGCCGUUGAGAGUUGCGACCAAGCCUGCUCUAGCUUCUGCAGCGUGCAUGUUGGCAGCGCCACCGUGGUUGCUUAAGCAAAUGCAUCCAACUAGAUCGUCCUUGUGCUGAAUAAUUGGAUAUCGUAUCCACUUAAAGCUGCCUUGUGUAGUACGUCUUUGUGUCUCUCUUUAUAUUCCAAUAAGGUCGGUGAUCUUGAUGCCACACACUCAGAUGUGUGUUCAUCUCCAGAUACUACUCCAUGCUACCUGCCCUUUGUGUUUUGUUCAAUAACUGGGUAUCAUAUCCCAGCCAGUAUGCCGUCUGUUUUGUGUUUGUUUCCUUCUAGUUCCAAAGGGGUCAUCAUGAUGUUACCUUCUUUCAAUAUGGUGCUUUGCAUGACUACUGUUGUAUGGUACCAUCUUGUGGCCAAUAAGUACAUCUUAUCCUAUGACCUUUGCUAUGACCCUUUGCAAAUAAGUAGAAGAUUGUUAUAAGCGUCAAUACUCCGUAUAAAUUGAUCGCUGCUGUGAGUUCCCUUUCAGCUUAUCGUAGGCAUACAUUAUUGCUAGCACGGUAAAGCCAACCAACACGAAUGAUGAAGUAAACGUAGCGGUACUUCUGUAUACCAACACCCUUACUUAAAUGUACCGGUGUCAUUCCCUACUGGCACAUAUAUUCUUAUAUGCUAGCCAGCUUGUAAAAUUAACCAAUUAAAAUAAUUAUUUCAAGAUAGAAAUAACUUAUCGGUUUCUGGAAGCAUGUGUAAUGUGAAUUCAAGGACUCGACGGAAGUUGAAUCACUUCAUCUAUAUUGCUUUCAGUAUUUUGGGUAACUAAAUUUAACAUUUGCACAUACAAAUGUUAAAGUACAAAUGUUAAAUCUAGUUACCCAAGCAGAAUAUGAAGAUAGUUUAUAGUAUAUAUAUACUAUAUAAAUCUAGUUAACAUUUAGUCUAAAUGUUAAAUCUAGUUACCUAAAAUCCUGAAAGCAAAAUGUAUAAAUAUAUAUCUUUUAAGGCAGUAUAAGCUUCGAUUCCUAUUGCUGCUCUGUUAAAUCUCAUCUUUCGUUGUGGCCCAACACUCUAGUAUGCAUGUUGCACCAAGCUUCUUUGAGCCGCUCUGCCCUCUGAUUUUGCUGCGUAGGGGAAUCUUUAUCAGGUUGGGCUACUUCCAGUUGUGCGAUGUAAAGAUUCGUAUUUUCUAGAAGGUAGACAAAAAACUCGCGUUCUCUUAAGGCAACAACCGGAAGAUUCUGCAGCGCACAGGGCAUACCAUUAUUGUAGAAACGACCUUUAGUACCGAUCUCCAACCCCCUUUAAAACUGGUUUUGCAACCGGUACCGUUAUGUCGGUCCUUUAGUACCAGAUCAAAUAAGUACCGGUUGGUAACCAGUAUCAACUUGUUUUGCGGCCAAAAAAAUAAAGAAAAAAACAGUCAGAAGGCUCGCACACACGCGCAUCACAUGAAAUAUGCGUGUGCGGGGUCCAUGGGAUUCGAACCCAUGAAAUCAAGCUGCACGCGACCCUUCGUUACCAUCUCACCUACAUAGCGCAUAUGCUUUCCUGAAGUAACCCGUGGAGGAGGCUUUAGUACCGGGUCAUAACACCACCCGGUACUAAAAAUGACUCUUCAGUACCGGGUCAUAACACCACCUGAUACUAGUAUCGGAUGGUGUAAUGACCCGAUACUAAAAGGCCUCUAGGGACCCUCAAAUUUGAACCCGGUACUAAUGCUAAUAUUAGUAGCGGGUCAAAGUGCAGCCAGAACUAAAGCAUGGGAUGAAAGGUCAUAUUUCUAGUAGUGUAUAGUUGUUGUGAAGGACUGACUUGGCUGUCCUCUCUCUUCUCCAUCCCCUUGGUCUUACGCCGCCGCUCGCACGCGAGCCGGUGCCCAACCAGAGGAGUGAGAGCUAGGGGCAGGUUGGGAGGUGGGGAUAGUGACUGGUGGCCAGGGUGAUGGUUGAUCCUGGUGGGGUUAGGGUUUCAGGGUUUUCGAGCUUCCUAUGGUCGGCGAACCUAGAGGAGAAGCUCAACAUCAGCUGCAACCCGCGAUGGUGGUGGUUUGGCCGGCGCCCGAGGCGAGGCAGCGCGGGAGUGCUGCCGGUGGGUUGGUGUUGGCACUCAUUAUUGACAACUAUUUUGUUCAUAAAAUAACACUCAAACUUGCUGCUGCUGCUGCUGCCAUCGCCACCCUAGCCAUAAUAUAAAGGCAAAAUUUGCUAAAGGACAUGCAAAAUGAUGCUAGUUUGCUGGCGGGCAUCGUUGACCUUGUAAUAUGCUACAAGACACUCUAGUUGUGUAUCAAUUUGCUGAAAGACAUUGCUAUGACUAAAAUAAUGUUUCUGGACUGAGUUGGAGAGAGAGAUGGAGUGAAAUGUCUGUUUUGCCCAUGACCCCACUGGUCAGAUCCUUCUUCUUCCACCCUCCUUUGUUCUUUCUUCAACCAUUACCCAGCUCCAGCGUGUUGCAGAUCUACGAGGGUGGCGGCCUGGGGCGAGGGGCAUCGCUCGCCCUUGGAGGAGCGCUGCGAGCGACGGCGCGGGGGCGGCAACAGCGCGUCAGAACCUGACUGUUCGUUAGCUCCUCUCGCUGCUGGGGAAGAAGGAGGGGGAUGGGCCAUGGACGGGGUUCCCUUGAAAACCUCAGCGUCGAGCUCGGGCGGCUACGCGCAGGCAGCACUAGGCUGCUUCACGGGGAGGGGGCGCGGCCAAUCAUUGGCACCCCACUGGUCCAAUGCUGAUGAAGAUGGUGCCAGCGUCGUGUGAGGACAUCUCAUCUCCUCGAGUUCCAUGGCCAGCACAGGUGAGCUGCCGCUACCACAAAACAGAGGUUUCGUGAGAGUCAAAAAACCUUAUGAAAAUAGCUAAAACCAUCAUGAAAAUAAUCCGUGACAUGACACUCUCACGAAAAUCCUCUCACAAAUAUGGUGCCAUGAAAAUACCAUUUUCAUGAGAGUGAACUGUCAUGAUUUUAUAAGCGUCAAUACUCGGUAUAAAUUGACUACUGCUGUGAGUUCCCUUUCAGCUUAUCGUAGGCAUACAUUAUUGCUAGCACGGUAAAGAGAACCAACACGAAUGAUGAAGUAAACGUAGCGGAACUUUUGUAUACCAACACCCUUACGUACCGGUGUCAUUCCCCACUGCCACAUAUAUUCUUAUAUGCUAACCAGCUUUGAAAAUUAAGCGAUUAAAAUAAUUAUUUCAAGAUAGAAAUAACUUAUCGGCUUCUCGAAGCUUGUGUAAUGUGAAUUCAAGGACUCGAUGGAAGUUGAAUCGCUUCAUCUAGAUUGCUUUCAGGAUUUUGGGUAACUAAAUUUAACAUUUGCACACACAAAUGUUAAUGUACAAAUGUUAAAUCUAGUUACCCAAGCAGAAUAUGAAGAUACUCUAUAGUAUAUAUGUACUAUAUAAAUCUAGUAAACAUUUAGUCUAAAUGUUAAAUCUAGUUACCUAAAAUCCUAAAAGCAAAAUGUAUAAAUAUAUAUCUUUUAAGGCAGUAUAAGCUUCAAUUCUCUGUUAAAUCUCAUCUUUCGUUGUGGCCCAACACUCUAGUAUGCAUGUUGCACCAAGCUUCUUUGAGCCGCUCUGCCCUCUGAUUUUGCUGCGUAGGGGAAUCUUUAUCAGGUUGGGCUACUUCCAGUUGUGCGAUGUAAAGCUUCGUAUCUUUUAGAAGGUAGACAAAAUACCCGCGUUCUGGAAGAUUCUGCAACGUGCACGUUGGCGCUGCCACCGUGGUUGCUUAAGCAAAUGCAUCCAACUGAAUCGUCCUUAAGCUGAAUAAUUGGAUAUGGUAUCCACUGCUUAAAGCUGCCAUGUUUAGUACGUCUUUGUUUUUCUCUCUUUAUAUUCCAAUAAGGUCGGUGAUCUUGAUGCCACACACUCAGAUGUGUGUUUAUCUCCAGAUACUACUCCAUGCUACCUACCCUUUGUGUUUUGUUCAAUAACUGGGUAUCAUAUCCUAGCCAGUGUGCCAUCUGUUUUGUGUUUGUUUCCUUCUAGUUCCAAAGGGGUCAUCAUGAUGUUACCUUCUUUUGAGGUGUCUAUGAUGACUUCGUUAAUAUCAAUAUUAACCAAUUCAAUCUGUCUUAACUAUUUGUAAGGGGUAUGAUGUAUGCAUGAUUAUAACAAUGAUUGCGCAUACAAUCGCCGCCAAAGAAACGGUCAAUACCAUUAAGACAUAUUACAGACAAUUCUCAUAAUCUAUAAUGAAUAUACAUAUUCACUACUGCAGAAGACUGUCAUUUGUAUCGGCUCAUACGUGCCAGGGCAAAGGUCACCCUUGCAUUAAGUACAUUUGCACGGUAAAGACAACCAACACGAAUAAUGAAGUAAACAUGCCGGUGCUUUUGUACACCAACACGCUUACUUAAAUGUACUGGUGUCAUUCCUCACCGGUAGCCGGCUUGAAAAUUAACCAAUUAGAACAAUUAUUUAUUGUAUCGGUGUGAUUUUUGACCUAUUGGAAUAUGAAUUUGACCGUUACUGCAUUCGUCAAGACUCAAGAGAGAAAUAACUGAUCGGCUUCUUAGAGCGUGUGCAAUGUGAAAUCAAGGACUGGAUGGAAGUUGAAGCGCUAGCACUAGUAGAGAAACGACUUUCCAUCCACCCCCUUUUGUCCCGGUUUAAAGUUGGCUCGGGAUAAAAGGUUCACCAACCGGGACUAAAACUCAGUCACUGGUGGGAGGCUCACCAACCGGAACCUUUUAUCCCGGUUGCAAAGGCUAAUGGGAAAAAAAGACUCUGAGAGGCCUUUUAUCCCGGUUUGAAACACCAACCGGGAUAAAAGACCCCCCUUUUAUCCCGGUUGGUAACACCAACCGAGAUAAAAGGGUCAAGAGCCUUUUAUCCCGGUUGGAAACACCAACCGGGAUAAAAGACCCCCUUUUAUCCCGGUUGGUGUUUCAAACCGGGAUAAAAGGGCCCCCACGAGGUGACUGGAAGGUGACUGGAAGGGGAUUAAAUCGUGGGGGACCCUUUUAUCCCGGUUGGAAACACCAACCGGGAUAAAAGGGGGUCUUUUAUCCCGGUUGGUGUUUCCAACCGGGAUAAAAGGGUCCCCCACGAGUUAAUACAAAAGGAUAGUAUCCCCUACAUAGUCAGAUGUGGUGUGUAGGUGGGAUGGUAAGGAAGCUACGCGCGAGCUCCGGAAUUUUUUUUUUUUUUUUUUGCAGCGUCGGCGCUCUCUACCCUUUUAUCCCGGUUGGUAUUACCAACCGGGAUAAAAGGGGGUCUUUUGUCCCGGUUGAGUGACCCGGGAUAAAAGACCCCCCCUUUUUUCCCCGGUUAGUUUAUCCCGGAUGCAUUUUCGGGAUAAAAGCACCCUACCAACCGGGAUUAAAGCUCACUUCUCUACCAGUGUAGCUUCAUCUUCCGCUGCAAGUUAAUUGCUUGGAUAAGAAGUUGUAGCCGCUGCAAGUUAUAAAUAGUCCCGCUGAUGCUGUGCUCCGAAGUCUAUACUAUAUAUGCGGAAACUAGAUUGCUUUCAGGAUUUUGGGUAACUAAAUUUAACAUUUGUACAUAAAAAUGUUAGUUUACGAAUGUUAAAUCUAGUUACCCAAGCAGAACAAGAAGAUAGUAUAUAGUAUAUACUAUAUAAAUCAAGUUAACAAUUAGUCUAAAUGUUAUAUCUACUUACCCAAAAUAUUGAAAGCAAAGAAAGAAUAAGUAUAUAUCUUUUGUUGGAAAAUUGGUCCACGGAGAGGCCCAUUUAGGCCUCGUUCGUUUCACCGGGAUGGGAUUCCAGUCAGGAUUACUUCCAAGUUCGGUUUGAGUGAUUCCACCCGUGUCACUCAAUCCGGCUAGGAUUCAUUCUAUGGGUGAGGAGGUAUGGUUUCAAUCCAGGCCAUCUAAUGUAGAAGGAUUCCAAUCCAGGCCGGUUUUCGUUCCAGGCCAGACUAAAACGAACAACACUUUCAAUGCAAGUCUGGUUUCAAACCGGGCCAUUUCAAACCACCCGGAAUGGACCUCGUUCCAGGCCAAUCCGGUGAAAACAAAUGAGGCCUUAAUGGAAUCCCAAAGCAAGAGUUCAGUGGCAUUCUAUAGUCCCAUGCUGCUAGUUUGAGUUGGUCGAAGCCAACUUAAAUAGGAGAGCUCUCUCACUUCUCUAAAUACGUAACUGAAGGAGAGAAGGGGGCUUGGGUUACACAACGCACGCACGCACGCAUAUUUGCGUUCUUUUCGCGUAACCAACCGCGUGACUUGAAACUUGCGACGUAGCGUGCUGCUAAGUCAAGUUGAUAUAACCUUUUUGCCGUUUGCAUGUAAUCUUUUGACAACGGUCAUUGGAGGUGAUAAGCACGCAGUCAAUACCUUAAUCUUGAGUUAAUAGGGUGGUUACUACUGCCAAUUAGUGGGGCAAUUUUGUAGGGGAAACGGUUAGCAGAGGGCUACCGUCUUCUCUAUAAGAAGUUCUGGAGACGUCCAGGAACACACAUGUACAUGUGAGAGACCCACAAAUUCCUUCCCUUCUCCCUUUUCCAUGUGGUGAAGUGUGCUGUGGUACUGAGCUGCUUGAUCUCGCCGCUCUUCUCCUUGGCAUGCACCGAGGAGGAGGGUGAGCGGUAUCUCCGAGCUAUUGCCGUCAGGAAGCCUGCACGAGGGACAACAAAAAGUUUUUGGGUAGCGCAACUGCCAGCACAACUCUCCCUCCGCCUCUUCUUCACGGUUGAUGGCCACCACAAGCAUAAACCUCGCCUUCGCAUCCACGCAAAAGGGUCGCUGGGGUGCCUUCUUGCAUCGCUUCUCAGCCUCCUUGACUUGCGGCCAGCCAAGAACUGCGCCACCACCUCGGGUGCACGCCACCACUCCAGGGCUGCUACCCCAUGCCUGCGGCCGCCGCCGGCCACCACGCGUGUGCAACCGCGUCGCACCGCUUCCUUGCUUUGUGCCACCACUGCUGCUGUACCACCAGCUCCACCACCUUGGGCUGGUCGCCAGAGUGACUGAUAACUUAUUAUCUGUAACUACUAUUAACUCAGGGAUACAUGCGUCUUUUGCUUCUCCUACUAAUAUGUCCUAAAAUAUCUAGGAUGCCUUAUAUUUCUGGACAGAGGAAGUAUUUGAAUAAAAUGAACCAAUUUAAAAAAAUGUGUUGUACACUACUACAGAAAGACCUAUCAGUGUCAAACCCAAAAAUGUUGUCACCGCCAGUUUUGGGCAUCAUUGGUGAAAGGUUGGCGGUGAUGGGCUUUCCCUUCAACAACGGCACUGGAGCCGACGGUGAUUGACAUUAGAAAACAAAAAAGGGGACCCUACCUAGCCACCCCUGCAACCCGGCCGGCCGUGCCUCCCCUCAUCCCCACCACCUCGCCUCCCCAUGACCCCCCGCCGGCGCCCUUGCGCCUAGCCCCCUCAACUGCCCAGCCGGCCACCCUCAUCACGAGAGAGAGGUGCAUGUUGUAUAAUUGCGUGAAUUUUUUAAUGUUUAAUUUCAUGUAAGUUCCGUGUAAUAAAUUGUACAAGUUUUAUUGUAUAUAUGAAUUCCAUAUAUAUAUAUAUAUAUUUAUAAUUUAAUGUAUGGUUUCAUGUGUAUAUUUCAAUCAUGUGUAUAUUUAGUAGAUUGCCGAUUUUCUUUUUCUACUAGACAAGGGUUGAUGUAUAAUUACGUGUAUAUGUUUAUUGUACGGGCAAUUAGGACAAGUUUUGUAUAAAUUUCUUUUAUUUGAUGGUUGUUGUAUGGUUUCAUGUAUAUACAUUUAUUGUACUACUUUAGACAAUUUUUAAUUUAAUGUUUCUAUGAUUAGAUGUGUGUAUAACUAAUUGUAUUAUUAGUUAAGAUGGGAGCUAAAGAGGAUGAAAGGUAUAUAAUGGAGCAGAUUAUUGCUAGCUCAAACGUUGCAAGAACCUACACCGAGGGUGAGGGUAGCUAGGUGGACAUGUACCUCAACAUGUCCAGUGAUGGCAAUGACGAUGAGGAGCACGAGCAUGACAUCUAUGAUAAUGCGGAACAAGACAUUGCAGAAUUGGAAGGUUCUAAUGAGGUGUGCUUCAUGUUGACAAUCUAGUUGGCUUUUUUUCGUUGGUCACACCUUAGUUACCAUAGAACUUCGUCUCGGGAGAAGAUUGGUGGUGGUAUGGUGAUUGGAAUUUUAUUUCCACGAAAUCUGAUUUCCAUCGAAUCAUAUCCCUUGUAUUUAUCUUCUUUUUAUUUGUGAGAGCAUCUUCUUUAUGCUUGCAAAACAAUUCAAGUGCACAUACUACCCCUAGGGUGACGAUUGGGAGUAGAAAUAAUUGCCAACAAAACAACACCACAUCCUAAGAUUCUUAACUUGUGGCAUAAUUAGUCUAGUAAAAAGAAAGAUAAAAACCUAAUGGGUGUAUGUGAGUGCAAUGUGUAUAUGCAUAUGAGUGGAAGGCAUAUAAGCAAAGACAAUAUUUACACAUAGUUCUAAACACCAUGUUUACAGCUAGGUUGCUGAAUUUCUCCAUAGCCAUAGAGAUUAAUUAACCAAGGUCAAAACACGAUGUCUAUCCCAAGAUCAGUAAUUAUUUAUAGCACAAGAAAAAGAAAGCGCAUUGCAAAGUUUAUAAACCAACCAAUACAGCAUGAAAACAAGAUGAAUAGCUAGCAAGGUUUAUUAAACUGAAUGAUGACGGUCUGUAAGCAAGUUUAAACACCAUCUUUACACAAGAUUGCAAAUGGAAAAUGCCCAUAUGAAGCACUAACAUGGAUAUGAAAUCAUUCAUCAUAAAGCGUAAAGAACAACCAAGCCAACCAUAUGCAAAGCAUGAAUGGAAUGCAAUGAAGGUGCAAGAGAACAUUUUUGGAUGAACACAUUAUGAUGAUGGCAAAAUGCAAUGCAUGCAGAAAAAAUAAAUAUGAACAUGAAUAUGAUGAUCAGGGGCGGACCCACUAUUGUGGCCUGGGUAUUCCUCGGCAUACCCAAUAUUUUUGGGAAAAUGUUUAGUAGUUUUUAAUGGCAUAUACAUGUAUAAUAUAGUUUAGGUGUUAAAAUUGAUAUUCACAGCUAUUUUGGGCUCCAAUUCGCGUCCAAACCAACCUGGCCCACAGACCGCACCCGGCCGCCCGGCCCAUCGGCCCAUCUUGUCACUGAUCCUCCCACCACCACACUCAGCCCGUCAGUUAGUCAGGUCCCGAGCUCCUGCCUGACCUAGUCCGCUACCACCGCCAGGCGCCAGGCACAGCUGUACACGCCGCCCCCGUCCACCCACGUCCGCCGCACGGCCGCGUCGCGCCCCCCCCCGGCGCCCGCUGCUGCCAGAACCCAUUAGGCCUCCACCGGCAAGUCCACCCACAGUCCCGCGCGACGCGGCAGCCUCUUGGCUCUCGGCGCUCGCGGCGCGCCAAUGCCUGCGCAGCCCCAGCAGGCGACUGCCCCCCCCCCCCCCGCAUCGGGCCUCGGCCCCUCCCCAGCUCCCCCUCCCCCCUCCACCAGGACUGCCUGCUGGCCCCCACCGCGAGGUAAUCGAAAUGGACUGCUCAAUCUCUCAAUCUGUUGACAUGAUGCACACGGUUGCAAAAAUAGAUGUGUCAAAAUAGAUGUAUUGCCAAUUGCUAUAGAUGCAUAUGGUUGACAUGAAGAAGUCAAAAAUGACAUUUGGUUCCUUGUAGGCAGUCAAAAAUGAAGAAGUCAAACAAUAUUGAUCUGAAAUCAAUGCGGGAAAGGGCUACGAAGACACACGGGUAGAUUCCCUUGUGAACUUUUUAUGUCGUUCGUCUAAAUAUAUUUUUGCAAUGGGCAUACCCUACUCUGAAAUCCUGGGUCCGCCACUGAUGAUGAUGGUCUAAACAUAAAACAAGCCUAGAUUAAUUAGCUACAACUGAAAUUAAGCAAAGGUUAAUGUCAUUGACCCUAGCUCUAUCCUAGCUUUUACUAAAGUCCCGGCACAUAUAGUGGUUGGGCCCACUCUCUCUACUUCCCUCUCUGCUGCAUGCACACACACGAGCAACUGGAGGCCCAACAAAGCCCAGAAGGGUUCGGCCGAACCCGUCCGAUCCAGUCUGAGCGCCGCUCCCUCCCAGCCUUCGCGCAGAUGCUCCUCCAACGUUCCUUGACCCCUCCCUCAGUGUCCCAUUGGGUUUAACAUUGUAGGAGAGGAGUCCCUUUUUUAAAAUCUCAACCACCUCCUCUCCUCAUUCACUCCACUCUCAUCUCCAUCAAACUCACCAAGAUCCACAUCGGAAAUACCUGCUUACCACCAUGGCUGGCAAAGCCCUCGUCCCUUUCACCAACUUGGGCUUGACCAUUGAUCUCGAUGGGAAAAUCACUCCAGCAAAUGUCAUUGUCCCUGUCGGCGAUCUGGCGAUGGAGGAGGUCCAGGCACUAGAGGUCGAGCCCCUAGCCAUCAUACCGCCCAAGGGGUAAAGCAGGAGCAUGACAGGCGCUGCUAGGGGUUCAGCCGAACUCCCAGUUCAGCCAAACGAGGACGGCGUCGCCUCGGCCUCCCGCUCGACUGCAUGCUUCCCCUUGCCAAGGAGGACUCCAGAACAGCGGGCGCGUGCGUCAAGUCCCUACAAAAGGCUGAAAUACAAUGAAUAUCCAGGGUCACCCUUGAAGAUGGGUGAACGCUACGCCGGGUCCUUGUUUGACUAGUACGGCGAUGCAUUCUGCCACCGCUAUGUCGUUGUCGAGAUUAGCGGAUCAAGACUUAGACUAGUAAAUUUCUUUUAUGCGCGUAAGGCUUCAGAUGGUGGCGUGGGAGACAUGGGUUUUAUACUAGUUCGGGCAAUGGAAUACCCUACGUCCAGUGUCUGGAGCUGCUUGUGUUGCCCACGCGGGGUUCUGUAGUAGGGGUUACAGGUGUGCGAGAGAGGGAGCUAAUCCCAGGUCUCUUAGGCGUGUUCCGGUCCUCUAGAUGGGAGAAGUGUGUUCUGUUUGCUUGGGAGUAUCGGUUGUGUCUGAGUUGUCUCCGGAGCCUCCUCCCGUCUCAGGUCCCCGAUUCUCCUUUCAUAGCACAAGGAGACCAUCGGGGUUACAGACGAGACCGAGCGUGGGGAGGAGUAAAGAGAUAAACAUAGCUAGGUAAAAAUACAACAAGAAAGGGGGGAACCAAGUUUCUAGGUCACCGGCGUCCUCGCCGGCCUUCGACUUCCGCCGGCGCAUUUGUCGGAGGAGGGUGGCCGCCAUCGCGUUCUGUCGAUGGCUUCCUCGGUGACUGUAGCCACCGGGCGUGAUGAUGGCAUUUCGUCGUGACCCUUUGUCUGUUGGGGGAGGCGGCGGAUCCUGCCAUUCUGCUGACGGCUCGCGGAGUGCGAACGUCGCAUCCCUGCCGCUGGGCACGCGGGGCGCGAGAACGUGCGAGGCUUCCCCCUACCCCAGGCGGCGCAGGCCAUGAGUGCCCUGUGGCAAAUCGGAGGAGGCCGCAGCUACUGUAGCUUGUACUGUGCAGCCACGUAUGGGUACUUGUGGCAGGUUGCGUGGUGGAUGCGGAUAUCCUUCUCCCUGACAGAUCUGCGGCGCAUUUAUGGCGAGAUCGACAUGGGGACCCACAAGACCCGCGCCCAAGGCGGAUACUUGUCUGGAGGGCCCGGGUUAGCCUGACCCCCUACGCUUGGGGUCGGGCGAGGCGGAGACUUGCGGCGGGGCGUCGGACGCUCCCGACACUAGACCUGCGGUCGCGCAAGGCGGAGCUUGGUCUUCCGGGGGUCGGGGGUGCCGGACCCCAGGAUGCGGGGUCGGGCGAGGUGGAGCGUAAUUCUUGCCUCCCAUGUUGGGCCGAUGGCAGUCUUUGUUACCUCUAGUGGGCUUGGGCCUUUAUGUUUUGUUGUUUCCAUGGGCUUCGAGAGGUCGUUAAUAUUUCCCCCCAACAGUAGCCCCCGAGCCUGUGGUGGAGUGGGGGCGCUCCUCCGGAGGCUACUAUCAUCGCCCCUAGGGAAUCCUCGCAGUUGAUCCGGGAUAGGAGGUGUUGUUUGCACGGCUUGACCGAGGGGGUCGAUUAGGCGACGCAUCCUGUGAGCGACUCGGUGCGGGAGGGUUUCUUGUUGUUCCCUUCUGUCUGAGAGCCUUAAGUCGAGACCACCUGCGUGGCCUUUGGUUGCAAGGCCAGCCCCCGAGCCCCCGCACGUUGCAGGGGACCGGUCGGAGGCUAGGUCGACUUUUGUUCAUUACCCUCAAGCGUCUGUUCGCUAGGACGGAGGGGGCGAGCCGUGCCAUGCUAUCCUCAUCGGACGAACCAUGGUGCUCAUUGAGUUACUAACGGGUUGAUUCGAGUGGGAUCCCGGUCCCCGUUCGGGGGGGGUCCGGCUUGGGCCAAGCUGGUGGCGUACCCCAGGCUCCGGUCGGCCAGUUCAUAUAGUUCCUGAGUCCGUUCGGUCGGACCGGGGGCUCAUUGCCUUUCUUCGGGGAAAAACCAUGAACUUUGAUGCCGGUCCAGACUCGAAUGUGAGAUUGAGACGCCCGGGGCUGUCGCGUGCCCGGGUGAUGGCCGCUAGCGGACCCGUCUCCUCUCACCCCUCACUCGGGGGUAUCCUGAGGCGGCUGUCGAACCCGUGGCGGGCCAGCCUUCGAACCUCUGGAUCGUAAUGGGCCGUAGGGGCGUUUUCAGCCCCGUAUCCCUUUUUACCUUUUGGUGGGCCUUGGGCCGAAUCAUGGAGGAGGUCGGGCCUUGGGCCGGAUGCGGAGGAUGUCGUGCCUUGGGCCGGAUGUGGGGGACGUCGUGCGUGUCUUCCGGGAGACGAAGUGGUGGAGGGUGCCAACCCGCGAAUCGAGGGAGGAGGGGAUGUUUCUACUGCAGGUCAUGCGCACGGUUUCCGAAAAGGCAGCGGGCGUGACGGGACGUACCUCGCGCCGCAUUUAUUGCGAUGGGGGCGUCUGUUCUGCUUCCCUCGUGCCUUCCCUAUAAAACGAGGACUUCGCCUCGCCGGUUCCGCCCGCCAUCUACCUUCAAGCCUUUUCGCCUCCUCGCGCGCCCUUAGCUUUCCUGUGCCCGCUUCGUCUUCCUCCGCCCAGUGCCGCGCCCUUUCUCCCCAUCCGCCGUCGAGUUCUUCUCCCUCCGGCGAUGGGAUCCUGGGCGCGUUCCCACUUCGGCCCCUCACGCGCCGAAGGCCUAGUGAGGAAAGGCCUCCUUUGCGAGAGGACGGAGACGGAUGAGUGGGGGUUCCCUGAGAUGGAAGAGGUGCCGACUCCGCCCACCGGCUACGUCGUUUCCUUUGCCCACUUCCACGAGAGGGGGUUUGCGACUCCGCCGAGCCUCUUCUUCCGCGGGCUUUUGUAUUACUACGGGCUUGAGCUGCAGCACCUCAACCCCAACGGGAUUCAGCACGUCGCGGCGUUCGUUGCGGUGUGCGAGGGGUUCCUGGGCAUUGAGCCCAACUUCUCGCUGUGGAAGUACUUCUUCACGGUCAGCCUAUACCAGAAGGCCGAGAAGAGGGGAAGCCAGCAGCGGUCGACCCCGGUGCCGAUAGGGUGCGUCGGAAUCCACCUCUGCCAUACUCGCGCCAAGGAGUAUAUCGCGAUGAAGACCGCGGCAUCCCACAAGGGGUGGCACCAGCAAUGGUUCUACGUGAAGAACUACUCCAACCCCCCCUGCCGGAGUUCACCGGCCGCAUUAUUGAAGCGGCGCCGGAGGUGUGGGUGUACGGCCCGGUGGAGAAGGAGAAGAAGCGGAUCACCGGCCUGCUGCAGGCCAUCGAGCACCUGAAGGAGAGGGGACUGACCGGAGCCGGAGUCAUCGGGGCGUACCACGCCCGGCGGGUGGCGCCGCUGAUGCUCCGGGUCCGCUCGCUCGCCGACAUGACCCCCGGUGCUCUCACCGAUGGCACUGUCCUCGCGACGGGUGCUCUCGCUGCCUCCGAGAUCCGGCAGCGGAUCCGGGAGGCGCUGGAGGACAAGGACGCCGAUUACCCGGUGCCCGGCCACCCUCCGAUGCGCCCGGACGAGAAUUUCAUUGAUCUGGUAAGGAUUUUGCGCGCCAGUUUCCCUCUCUUGCGUUUCUUGGUAUGCCGUUCUGACGCGAGGCCCUCUGUGUUUGCAGGGUAGCAUGACCCGGGUCGUCGACUUGCGUCCGCCAGUGUCGGAGGACGCCGAGUGGCGGUAGCAGAACCGUCUCCUUGCCGAGAAGCAAAAGUGACGCAAGGACAAGAGACAGCGAAGAAGAAGAAGAGGGCCGCCAAGGAGUUCCAGCGGCGGCGGUGGGGAUAGGUCGUGUCGGAUGACGAUGACGAUGAGAAGGAGGAGGAGGAUGACGAGGAGGAGGAGGAGUUUAUCCUGUCCCCCCGGUCAGGGGCGCUUGUUAUCCGGGAGCCGCGCUCCCAAGCGGCCAUGGGGGACAAGGCGGGCGAGCUGCCUGCCCGGACCCGAUCCUGCGAAGCUUUGGGGGCGCGCCCCAGGGGUCGGCGCAGAGCGCCCCCCGGGGGUCGACGGAGCCGACCCCCAUCCCUACACCUGCAGCCCAGGAGCAGAGGAGCAGCGACAAGCGGCCGUUGCCAGAUGCCCCGGGGUCGGCGUCCAGCUCAGAGGCGAAGCGCGCGCGCCGCCCUUGCGCUGGGGGAACGUGAGUUGAAUUUCCUUGCGAAUCUCGUUCCUUUCCAUGCAUUGUGUUUGUUUCCGCUGAUGCUGUUUGUUGUCUCACAGCACCGCCCCUCAAGGCCUUGUCCCGCCGUUGGCGCCAAAGAAGGCGUUGCGGUGUUGUCGCCUCUGCGGGGCGGACCGCGGCUCCGCCGGCGGCGAGUGGCGGGGUCACUGGUGAGACCGCGGGUCCUACCGCGGAGGUGGCCCCUGCGGCGGCAACCGGUGGAGUGGUGCCACCGCCGGGCAUGGGACAGGGUCUGGACCCCGCUCCGUCCUCCGCCUCUUCGGCCGACCCCGCGGUGCAGAGUAUCGCUCCUGGGGGCCCUCAGGCCGGGGAGGUGAUUGACCUCGACGCCGACGAGGUGGAGGAGACGGCGGCGGUGGAGACGGGGGCGGUUGCCCCAGCGGCCAUGACGGGGACGACGACGGCGACGGGGGAAGGAGAGUCUACCCCCGCGGCCACGGCGGGGACAGUGGCGACAGAGGAGGCGGGGACGCCCGCCCCGGCGGCUGCGACGGAGGAGGCGGCGGUGACGGAGACGGGGGCUUCCGCCCGGGAAGCCACAGCCGAGGUGGCAGCGGCGACGGAGGUGAAAGUGCCUGUUCUGGAGGCCACGGUGGGGGUGGGGACGCCUGCCUCGUGGCCACGACGGAGGGCGAGGCGGCCCCAGGGACACUUGCUCCGGCACCCGCGUUGGAGGCGGUGGCGCCGACGGGUUGGCCCGUGGCGGCCUCGACGGGGGCGGGGGUGCGUGCGCCGGGACCGUCGGUGAGGCCGGCGACUUCCGGGAUGGUGGUGCCCGUCUUGACGGCGGCGGCGGCGCGGUCGGCCCCCGCCCUUGCCUCUACCACUCCCAUUCCCAAGGCGUGGAGCGGAUCCGUCCUGCGUUGGUCGUCUCGUGACGACCCGCAGAGGCCCCUCUUCACGUUGGAUGAUGCCACAGAAUGGGGCAAGUGGCAGGCGCUGCAGGGCGGACUCGCUAACGUCCGCGCCGCUCUAUCUUCGGCGUUGGGGGAGCUGGACGGCGUCAUCUUCCCCGGUGGCCGGGUAUGGUGCUUUCUCCGUUGGUUAUUUUCUUCCCGUUACUUCGUCCCUGAUGGCACAUUGUUCUGCAGGCCCUCCAAGAAUGUAGCCGGGGAAAAUCUGAUUUCCUUUGGCUCGAGCAGGGGCUCUGGGAGCGCUUCAACUUGGAGUUGCAGCGGACCGGGGAGCUGACCAUGCAAGUCGCCACCGUCUAGCAUGUCAUCGACGAUCUGCGAAGGCACGAGCAGGCGGCACAGGAGGACGCGCGGCGGGCGGAGGCCAAGUUCCAGGUCGUUGCCGAAAGGGCUCGCUGCGACCGCGAGGAGUUCCAGGCCGUUGCCGAAAAGGCCCGCCACGACGCUGAGGAGCUCGCACGGCUGAAGGUGCAGCAUGAAGCUCUUCAGAAGAGCGGCAGAGGGCCUGGCAGGACCGGGACGCCGAGAAGGUCCGGAAGGAGGAGGCUGAGAAGGUGGCGGCCAACCUUGGGGCUGAGGUCAGCCAGCUCCAAGUGCAAGCGCGAGAGCUUCAGGCCUCCGUGGCCCAGGGGCUCGACCAGGAGCGCCAGCUGAAGGCCUAAUCCGAGGGUAUGACUCUGUUUAUUUCUUUGUCUUUGUGAUGUUGCGGUGAUAUUUUAUUUGGCGGGUUCUUCUGGAUGAUCCUUGCAGAUGAGCUCAACUGGCUGAGGGAGGUGCUUGACGCGGAGCGCGCUGAGCACGGCGACCUGCGGGACGCGGUCCGCGUCAUCUGUGACUUCCUUAGUGUGGUCCAGGGGGAGGGGACGAGCUCGCUGGCGGCUCGUGUCCUCGGGACGUACCGCCGGACCAGCGAGAUCGCCCUGGAAGCGCUUCGCACCGGCUUGAGGCAAGCCUUUGGGGUCUUCGGCUCCCACUAUUCCGGCAUCAACUUCGCCGGGAUGAGCGGGGGAUACGCCACCGGCUACUACGAGGCCGAGCUGGAUGAGAUCGACGUGUCGGUGCUCAGCCCGGCGGAGGCCUUGGUGAAGCUCCUCGAGGAUGAGGCCGUCCCGCCCGAAGAUCCCCGGACGAGUUAACUAUAUCGGGCUGGCGCCCCAGAUGUAAAUACGUUAGGGAAAGACUUGUUUUUUGUGAGGGCCGUAGAGGCCUUUUCUAUGAAUUGUCGUAAAAAAGUUUUUGAUUCCCUUUCUUGCUUUUUGGACUUGGAAAGUUUAGAGCACGUUGUCGGGCGUGUCAGUAAGCUUUGAUGAGCGAAGGCACCGUAGCCGCUGGGGCGUCGUUUUUUUUGCAGUCCGAUCAAUCUUGCCUGAACACCGUUCGUGCACUUUCUCCUUUUUAUGCCCAAAAGUUCAGAAAGAGGGUCGGCUCGGAAAGAGAAAGCGUUUUGAGAGGGUGUCAAGUGGCUUAGGUACUUGCGGCAGGUUGCGUGGUGGACGCGGAUAUCCUUCUCCCUGACAGAUCUGCGGCGCAUUUAUGGUGAGAUCAACAUGGGGACCCACAAGACCCGCGCCCAAGGCGGAUACUUGUCUGGAGGGCCCGGGUUAGCCCGACCCCCUACGCUUGGGGUCAGGCGAGGCGGAGACUUGCGGCGGGGGGUUGGACGCUCCUGACCCUAGACCUGCGGUCGGGCGAGGCGGAGCUUGGUCUUCCAGGGGUCGGGGGCGCCUUACCCCGGGAUGCGGGGUCGGGCGAGGCGGAGCGUAAUUCUUGCCUCCCAUGUUGGGCCGACGGCAAUCUUUGUUACCUUGGGUGGGCCUGGGCCUUUAUGUUUUGUUGUUUCCAUGGGCUUCGAGAGGUCGUUAAUAUUUCCCCCCAACACUAUGAGGAGGACUUGUGGGCAGAAAGUCAGCUACCACAAACUUGCCUCUGAAUAUUUGGAGUGCAAACAUUGGAUGGUGGUUGUGGAGAGCCCCAGCCAUACCUCGCACCCGUGGAGAGGUAAUUGUCGGAUUGCUUGGUUCGUCUCUAGAAUGCGACAAGGUCAGGCGCCACCUCUCACUGCUGCCAGUCAGAAGGCCGAGGGGCCAGUUUCAACAUAGUAAUGAGAAUCUCCGAAGGCCAAUAUGGUUAAGCAGCUAACCUCCAUGAUCAUAGACUUACGUUUAGAAAAUAGGAGGCUUAGCGAUGCGUUAACAGAGCAGAAGUUAGAAACAGAAGAACUUAAGGACGACUUCCGUGUCCUCCGCCUUGGUCUUUGUGCUAAGAUAAAGCGCUUGUACAAUGCCACGGGGAAUGACGGUCUCUACGAUGCAGCUCAAUAGACGUGCCCCUUGUAUCCUUUCCUUUAGGCACUUUAGAAUAUGUUUAUUUGUUUUCCUUCAUUUUAAUUUCCAAUAGAUUGUUAGCGCCUCCAAUUUAAUUUCAAUAAAGUGUAGACUCACCGGUCAUCCAACUUGAUGGAGUCCUUUUGUCACCUAGUUGUCUUUGGAAGAAGUAGCUGGGUACAAAAUAAGUGUGGGGGAGAGCCACAGACUCUCUAGAGCUGAAACAAUGCACAACACCCACAAAUAGAGAAAACCACGCUGCACCAGCACGUACGUGAAAGUGGAGCCAGAGCUGGACCCAUAGGGGUUUGGCCAACCCAAGGGGUGGCCCACUCGGGCCAUCUUCAUCCACCGCGUCGGUUUGUGUCUCUUUACCCCUGAUCUCCCUGAUUCAUGAGUUUGAAUGAAUUUUAAAUCUGAUCAACUAAUUCAAACUCAACUAAAAUGAAUCAACUGCUCCACCUGCUCUACAUGUUUUCUAUGGUUGGCUUGCAUAUGUUUUAUUUCAUGCUUAUCAUCUUGAUGCUUGUGAACAAAUAUCUUUAGGACAGCAUGCUCAUCUAAGUAGUUGAUGUGUAUGAUAUGGUUCGAUGAUAUGAUCUUCACUCUUAAUGCUUAAGUGCUUGGGAAAAUCUAUUUGAAAAUUUAAAAGCCUUUUUGAAAUCUCCUCUUUGAUGUGCCAAAGUCCUACCAAAGCCAUAUGAUAAGUUAUCUUGAAAAACCAUUUGCAUAUGUUGCUUGUCUUUGCAUUGAGCUUUGUCAAAUUGGUGUGACCCUUGUCACAAUUCUUUUCAUACUUUCAUGAUCAAGACUCAUGUGCACGCCAUAUACCCCUUGCUAUGCUUCUAUGAGAUGUUAGCAUUGUACCAUCCAUUCAUUCCACAAAAUAAAUGCUCCACCAUAUGUGUUGGUCUCCUUCUAAGAUUAUUGUUACAAAAGAGAUAUGGGCUAUCAAAAAAAAAUAUGAAUGUCCAAGAAAGUUGGACACAUGAAUGUCCAAUAAAAAGAAAAAGAAAGAUAGCCAUGUCCUCAGAAAUAUUUACAAAGGGAGAGAGAUCAUACAAAAAGGAGUUUCCAUUCCAUCCACCACAUCCAUACAUGUGCACAUCUUGAUCUGAUUGUAUGACUUAUUUUUCUCUUUGGAUCUGGUCUUUGACUUUGCAAUAUAUGUGAUGCAAGCAUGCCUUAUCCUUCAUAGCCUACCUUGAGCUCCACAUAUAGCCAUCAUUAGAAGUAGGAUGAAGAAAGGCAAGUCUAAUGCCUUGGUGAGGACAUAUACACAUUGAGUGAUCUGAGAGAAUCAAAUGAGGAGCUAAGCAAGGUUUUGUUUUGAAAACUAAUUGAAAAAUCCCAAGCUACUUGGCAUAAGGAGUUGAGGUGACUUGAUUCAAGACCAUUACAUUCCUCAACUACCCAAGAUGGCAUGAUAGACACUCCAAAGUUCACAAGUGCAGGUAUGGUUUGGAAUAUCUUUUAGGCUCGCUUCAUACCUUUGAAAGUUAUGUUUCACCUUAGUCCUUUCUCGUUCACUCAAGGAUAAGCAAAGGCUAAGUGUGGGGGUGUUGUUGAUGGCUCUUAAGUACAAAAUCUGCGCCAUCAACUCUUGCAUAAACACAUAAAAUAUGAGCAUCAACAAUAGUGGUAGGAGUUAUUACAAACGAAUUCCACAAGUCUUGGUGAAUAUUUGUAUGCAAGCCCAAUAGGAGAGAAAAGACACCUCAAAAGCAAGGAAACACACUCUCAACCAAUCAAGAGCAAGCACAUGGAACCAUGGGCCCACAACCAAAAGGAAAUCGACUACAUUCCAAACACCCUAUACCCACAUGAGAACCCAUAGGGCAGUGACCCAGAGCAAAGGUGAUGCCAGAGUGUAGAUGGUAGUUAGCAUGCCAAAUUUUGAACCGCAAGCGCUCGGAUUAGUUGUUUCUUUUCCCUUAGAGAUUCCCCCAAGGUUUAUCAAUCCAUGGAACAAGGGAUUUGCACGUUUCACUAAGCACUAAUCAAUGUAAUUGAAAGCUUUUCGAAUAAGAUAUGAUUAUGCUAACAAAGGAACUAAGCAAUCUAGAUUAAGAUGGAUAGAGAGUACAGGUUGUGAACAAGAUAGAUUAAACGCUUGUAGAUGCAAUCACCAUGCAUGAAUGAAUUAGAUCUAGGUGUUAUUGUGAGUGGUUGUGAACCAUGCCCAACACUUUCCCACCCGCAACAUUGUCACUACAUGUGGGUACUCAACUAUCGGAACAUAAGAACACAUCAAGAUGAUCAUUCUAGGUAAGCAAAUAAGCAACCCAAAGUAGCGCUGGCCAGCCUUUUCAUGAAAGAGCAUCAUCAAGAUAAGAUUGAUAACAAAAUAGAUCUCAACCAAAGGUUCAGCGAUUACAAAUCAAGAUCUUCGUAUAACCCCGAUGACAAAUAGAGGUAUUACCCCCAUGAUCUUACACAUGUUGAUGAAUUUUAGGGUAAAGGACACCCUGUAGAUCAACUGGACCAAAGAUGAUGAUGAACGGGGGCAGGGAAGGCCCAGGUUGAUCAGCCUGCGCACUUUUGAGCCGAUCAGCUCAGGGGGUUUCCUCCUCCCCUGGUGCUCCUCUUCGCGUGGCCUCCUCUGGAUCCAAUCUUCUCUUCAUUUCUCCUACUUGUGGCGGCAAUGGAUGGUGUUUGCAUGGUGAUUUCCUCUUCUCCCCAACUCUCCCUCCUUGAAGUCCAUGAGGGGGUAUUAAUAGUCUCCAAUAGGCGGCAGCUCUGGGUCAAUGUCAGUGAAAAAAUCCUAGAGAUCAUCGUACACUUCAUGCUGAGGAAACAAGAGGUUGACCGAGCCCUGGGAUAGACCAAGAGGAUCAUCCUAGAGGGUCCCAGGCUAAUCGGUCUAGGCCCUUCCUAGCCCUUCUAGUCCUCUCCUUCCUCGUGCUGGCUUUUCUCGAUGACCCUUGUCCAAAUAUCCAUGAAGCUCUAUAUACAUACCCCCUUGAUUAUGUUGUAUUUCCUGUCAAAAUACAAUGCUCCAAAAUACAACACAUAUGCAAUAAUAGGGUUAUUUCAGGUGCCAAUUGGUGGGUUAGUAUACGAAUAAGCAUGAAAAUACUGUUUAAAUGACACUAAAAGUGUGUCAAUAACGAGCACCAACAAUCCCCCCACGCUUAGAUCUUGCUCGUCCUCGAGCAAGUCUAGCGACUAAAAGAUCUUGAAUUAAACCUGAGCAAGCGAGUCAAGUACCUAGCCUUGAAACAAAAGAUUAGAGGAGCAGCAAAGAUAAUCAAAGUCUGGGUGUUCAAAGAUUUAUCUAAGCAAAGAUUCCCCUACAACUAUUAUUCAGAACCAAGUAACUUCAAAAAUCAACUACACUUAUUUUCUGGCUUUUUUCAGAGGGUUUUUCUUUCAUCAUAAAACAAUCUCCCUGCAACAAAAUUGAAAAAAGAAUUAUUUUCAAGGUGCUUACAUGUCGCUUAAAUGAAUGUUGGCUAUCCUACUUAUUUGCAAGCUCUCAUCUCUCAAAAUUCAUUCAAUUAUAUGGUGGAGUUUGGGUAAGGUUAGCUAGAAUCAACACGUAUAUUAUUGAAUUAAGAAAACCCUCUAACGGUGGCCUACCUUCCGAGCCAUUGAUCAUAAGAAUAUCCACAUAAUGUGAAGUUUUCAAGGAUGAGAAGAUAUAGAAUGGUGGACAUGUGCAAAGGCAAAGAAAUAUAGUGACUCUGAGGCACAAGCAAUGUCCUCGUCGUUGGAUUGCAUAUGGUUGUAAUGAAAAUAUGUUCCUUAAACAAGUCUAUCUUUUCUUUGCACCACUCUUGAUCUUCAUGACAGUAAAAACUCCUCCUUUAUUUCUUUCUCUCUUUUCCUAUUAUUUCUUUUUAUUUGUCUCAAUACUUUUAUUUCUUUAUUUCUUUAUUUUAAUCUCUUCUCUGAACCUCUUCUGAACACCACAUAAUAAAAAUAAGUUUUAGAUCCUUCCAGAGACCUUCCAGGAAUUUGCUACAUGAAAACCGAGGCAAGGAGACCCCAGGCCGAUUGGCCUAGCCACUCCUUUGCUCUCCUCUAGCUCUUCUUUCUGGUGAAGCUUCCUUAUCUUGUAUCUUUCCAAAAAUUUCAUAAAGCUCGACUAGAAACGGAACAGAUCUUCAUAUAAUGAGUUGUGUUCAAGGAAUUGGUAAUAAAAUUGAGAAAUUUGUGGUUCGGGUUUACGAAUUCAGUACAAAAAUAUGAUUGUUCCAAUGAAGAACUCUCAUUACUGAAUAUUGACGAGGCAAGCAUUCAAAGAUGGUAAAAAGGAUAUGAUCAAUUCUCAAAAUUAAAGCAAACCAAGAGAGAGCGAUCCUAAUUCAAUUCAAAGUGUCAAAUGUUGCUUAUGGUGGUAUGAAUAAAUAUUUUUAGGCAUUGGGUAGGAUAAAUAAAAACUCUCAACCUGGUUAAAAGAUAUUGAUCAAUCUUGUUUUUGCAGAGGUUUUAAAUAAAAAAUAAAAUUUUAAAUCACCUCCAAUUCAAAGCCUUACUCAUAAAUCAUAAUCAAAACUGAAGCACUUGAUCAUCAUAAAGCAUGGGUAUUGCAUAAACAAAUCGAUUACUAAAACUCCACAACUACGAUUUAGAAUUCAAGACAAUGCUCAUAAUCUAAAGUUGCAAAGAUAAAAUAAAAGACAACCAAGCCAAGGUAGACACUAAAAACACUUGCACGAUCCUUGAAUUUUAUUCAUGCUUCUUCUCACAAAGACGCUAAAGUAGCCAUGUAGGCCUAAGUCUUCCCAAAAGCUUAAGAAAACUACUACUUUAUCUACUUUUGGUUGAAAUAAAAAGACUAAUCUAGACUCUCACAUGAUUCGACUCGACCAAAUUAGAUCCAAAAACUCAUACGAGCGACGAUCUCCCCCCCCUCACGCUUAAAAUCUACGACCUCCUCGUCGUAGCCAUAUGGAGUACAAGGAAAAGAAGCUUGUAAACGCUCUAAUGACGCUACCCGCACUACUUGCACACGGGAUGGUUGCUGCUUCCUUCGCUUUGUUCUUCCUCAUGUUGCUGCACAUCCCGAAGAGCUUCCUCACGUUCCUCUGCAAGAACUUGAACUCGUCCUCCUGACGGCGAUCAUUAUCUUCUGCCUUUUGAUCCAGAGCUUGUAAGGCUUGCAUGAUGUCAUCGAACGCAUCGAAGAGGUAGUGGAUGUUCUUCCUGCAAGCUGUGGAACAUGUACGAUCAUGCUCCUCCGAUUCUGGCCCGUCGUCUUCUAGAUCCUUCUCUUUGCCCUUGUCUUGACGGUGGCUAUCUUGCUCCUUGCUCGCCUUCUUGCCUUCAGCCCAAUCCCAGUACGUGUUGUCAUCUUCUUCAUCGUCACGGCCUGCAGCACCCUAUGAUCCAUUGUCUAUCUUGUAUGAAAGAAUCAGAAGCUUGUUCUCCUCAGGGUGUCUUGCGCGGUGCAGCGUUUGCAAGUGCAAGACUUGCUAGUUCCUUUUACACAUUGUAAUGUUCAUUGCAUGCUCUAAUUGUUCUACAUUUGUAAUUUCUUGGUGAAGUUUGGUUACUGAUCCACUGUUUGAUUAACUCUUGGGCCCAAACACUGUACUACUUCUGAUUAGAUAUCUGUAUCUUGACUUUGACCAAAAAAAAUAUCCGGCAGUUUUUGCCAUUAAAGUUUCAUAAAUCAUCUUGCAAAAAUCGUACUAUACAACAAGGGACGGUUUAUUAUAAAAUAUACGUUCCCCUUAUCACAUGCCACUUCCACUCAAAAGGCAACGAAUCAGUUUUCAAUCCUGAGUGAGCAAUUUGCUUUUAUUACCGAUGCCUCCUAUUCCCUUGUGCACCAAGUUUAUUUUGGAUAGGGCUGCAAAAAACGACUAACCAGCUCGGAUUCUCCACCUGCAAAACCGCAUCUGCAGCAACCAACCCCACGCGGUGGAAAAAAAAACAAAACCUAGAAACCGGACGGGGGUGGAUGUGGGGCUCGGAGCCCAAGCAAAAAACGGAUCGGGAGCGCCGGAGCAGGCCAUCACCGGAUGUUAGAGAUAGAAAAUGGUUGAAGUUUGGAGUGGAAAUCAAACAAGCCUUGGAGCAAAGGAAAAAAAAAGAUCAAACCACUCAAGCAUUCAUUUGAUUUAGAAAAGAGAACAUUUGUUAAGGUGGGGAGUUGAAAUCAUCUUUUAAUUAGUUCCACGUAUCUGGUAUCAUUACAGUUGGUUUACUUGUGUAAGUAUAAGUAGCUCUGCCGAAGCCUUUGCUCCUAUAAUUUAGUAACUAGUACAAAUGGAUCAAUAGGAAAAUCAAGUUGCAAUCAUUUCUCAGCCAACCAAACCUAUGUAAAUCAAAUUAUUGUCCAUGCCCGGCAUGCACAGGUGCCUGCCAUGCAUGCAUUGUUGCUCCAUUGUAAUAACCAUUAUUGUCCAUCGAUGUUGCAGCGCAUGUGUGCACUGUGCAGACACCAAGCAUCGAGAUUAUGUACUAGUAAGGUGUUGAAAUAAUGGGCCUAGCCCAUAAGUAAUUUCAGAAUUUCAAAUAAAUCUCAAAGGCCCAUGUGGGCAAGAGGUGGAGUGGUGCAAGUCUUUAGUCCCACAUUGCUAGUCGAGGGGAGGGAUGACCAACUUAAAUAUGGAAGUUGUCUCCACUCCUCCAAGCUAUGUGUGAAGGGCGCGGGCGCGAGGCACUUGCGUGAAUGGUCCGCCGAAAUCUGGCCCCCCUUGCGGGGGCGCGGCUUCCUUUUGCCGUUUUAUUUUUUGGUUACUUGGUCGUUAAGUCAUGGAAUCCUAACCGGUUUAGAUCACGAUCGUGAAGGUUUUUGGGAAGCGCUCUGCGCGACUGCUCGAUCGCUUCUUCCGCUUCGUCAAGUUCUUCGUCGACUCCUUCACCACGGCUCGUCUACCUCUUCGUCGCUCGGGCCUCACUCGUCGUCGCGAACAACGUCAGGCUGCUGAUCGUCGUCGCCUGCUGUAUCCGGUAGUCGUCCAGGAGCCGGUUUUCAUCAAGAAAGAAACGUACGGUCUCUUAACUCACAUUAUGUCUUCCAUACUAGCUAUUAUGAUUGUUGCAGUCUGAUAGCUCUGGAUAGUAUGGUAGAAUGUCUGAUUCUAUUUGCAAUGAUAGACUUGUCUAGAUCUUGCGUAGACAUGUCUAGUUUAAUCUGCUGCUUGUUCAUCAUAUUCAUGAUUUAUUUCUGGAUUAAGUUAAAACUAAAAGUGCUUAUAUAUCCAACAUAAGGUACCAAGAACACGUGAAGCACCCGGGGGAGGCUGCUCCACUCCGCAUGCACAGGUGGGCACGGCACCACUACUCGUCUCCUUCAGGCUGAGGAUAAGUGAUGUACGCUGAUCAACAGACCACGACGGAACCAGCAAUAAUAGUUUCAGCCUGCCUCACAGUAAUUAAUAUAUCCUGUAUCCUCCGAGGACCCCUCCCCUUAAUCUUGGCCUAUUGCAUCCAAUAAUGAUAUGUGUGUUUAUCCAAAUUUACGGCACCUUUGGCGGGGGUUCCACCCAGCUCCGCCCUCUCCACCUUCGGUACUCCAUGGGAAACCAUUCCUUUGGAAUCAAGGAAGCUUGAACAGUAUAACGAAUAAAGUUUCAUAUAUCCAUUUGAUUUCACAUGAAAUAAAAUAUUCUGUCAGAACCAAUGGUUUCACUGAAGCUCCAGGCAGCGAGCGAAGGGGUGAGAGAGGAUAACGCUUACUGUGUGUUACCAUCGCGUGCACCAUGGAUGACCAACGCGCAGCCGAGAUGAAACGGCGGACCUAAACAGGUCCUCGCUAUUUUUGCAGGUUCUCGACCAGGCCAGUUCUUUAGGCCAACCUAUCAUUCACGAGUUAAACAUACGGUGGCUGGAGAAAUGUUCUAUUCUUUUAAACAAUACCAGCUGGUUCCUCCGUUUUUAUUCCACCAAUACAAGCACCACCUUGUAACAUUUCCUAUGUUUUUUUUCCUUUCGUCUGUUUUCUCACUACAUGCGUUGCUCUUUCAUGCAUUUUUUUCCAUUCCUGUAUUCCAAAUAGGUCUACAUGAACACAAAAUGAACUAGGGGACAGAAAAAGCCAGUGAAGUUAGUUUUGAGCUUCACCAGCUACUUGCUACAUAAAGUGUGCUAUAGUCGCAGAAAAGCUAAGCUGGAUCAGACGUGGCCGAAACAAUGCCAAAGAGCUAGGUCCCUAGCUGAUGGCAACACAUCAGAUGACUAGCCUGCUUUUCUGUAAUAAUGAUAUUGAGCAAUACACUGCAUGGCUAACCUGCUUUACAAUAAUUGUCAUUUUAUAAUAUUGGUCAUCACGAGAGAUGCACAUUGCAUACACCGGCCCAUCCCUAUAAAUAGCCAAGCCUUUCAGCCAUCUUGGGCACCUCCUCUCAGGGCCUCGUCUCACCAUCAGACAUCUCGUUCCCAGUUAUAAUUUGCGAGGUUAGAUCAGGCUGCGCCAUGGCGUCCGCAACUGCUGUCAAGAUCGUCGCCACCUUCAUGCUGGUGCUGACCAUGGGCCACCUGAUGGCCGAAGCAUCACCGCAGCCUCGGCGUGUGCUUGCAGAAACGGAGCAUGCUGCGGUGUCCGGGAAUCCUGGCCUCCCAGGUGAUGCUAGCGUCAUGCAGGUCCUCGAACCCGCCCUAGUUUCUCGGCUUGCCUGCAAACCAGAGUGCACAGUCCCUUGGCCUCCUUUUGUAUGUAUCUGCUAGAUCCUCUUCCUGGCUCAACGGAACUUCAGGGAAAUGGCUGUGACGUCGGCCAAAGAAUAAAUUGGAUGAACAUAAUAUACCCCGGGUAGUGUAGCUUGGGCUUUUGUUGAGCGUCUGGUGCUAGUUGUAUUUUGUUUGCUCAUGUGGCUUUGCUUCUGGUUGCAUAUUGGCUUUCCUAUCGCUCUCUGUUGCAGCUAUGGUUUCUGCCAGGUGUGUGUUAAUGCGGUUUGUAAGCGGUGCUUGUUCCUACCUUCUGUUUUCAAUAAAAGAAGUCGGAGUCUCCCUCCGACUCUUGUUAUCAGUCAACAAAAAUGAGUUGUAUCAUAUAUAUCUGCGUCUUUUUUCUACGUAUCUUUGGGCUGCUUCAGCUGGAAGUUUAUCGUAAGUACGUGUAUCAGGAUGAUCGUUUGAAUUAAAACGAAAUGAUAAUGUGUGGCUGCUAGAAAUGGAAUGAGCAUCUUACUAUAUUACUAAUUGGAAGCCUCCACGUGAAGCCACCUAGAAAUUCUAGGUGGACGUUUUAAAAAAAACAAAACUCAUAGAAGCCUCCACCACCUAGGAAUCCUAGGUGGACACUCUAAAAAGAGACAAAUCCUAGAAAUUCUAAAAAAAGAAAAAAAUAAUAACAAUAAGAUUUUUUUGCAGUCAAUUACAUAUAUUUUUUUGAGACACCGUGCUGCUAGCUCUUGCCAUUGCGACCAGUAAAGCAAGCAGAUAGUAAGAUGACAUGCGUGUGGAUUGAUUAAAACAAAUUCAGUUAGUUGAUUCUAAAUCGUAUGUAUCCUAAAAGGAAGAUAUGUGCGUGCAUGGUCCCUAGCGAUGACAUGUAGACAUGUAUUGCAAUUUCUUUUUUAAAAAACAUGUCUAUCUCUAAACCAACAAACAGAAAAAAUAUCAAUCUAAAUCUAAAUCUCUUCCGUUCUCACACGCCUAUUAAAGAGAAGACAACCAAUCCCAUCCAUGUUCCAUAGAAUCCAUCUAAAAGCUUGCUCACUGCGGACGGCAUUUGACGGCAAAUCAAUGAAAGAUCAUCCUCUCCAAAUAGCUGGACGGCAUCACCAUCUUUAUCUCACCAACCUACAGAGCUACAACGAUGUUGUAGAGAUCAACUAGGUAACCUACCAAUCACCCUCCCCUUUUCUAUAUGCUCUAAAGAACACGUGGAGUAAUUAUAGGCCUAUAGGAGCCGACUAACCUAGAUUAAUAUGAAAAAUAUUCCAAUAUUAAAAGCAAGCAGAUAGUAAUACUUGCCUUUGACCAUUUUUCUAGAACUGUUAUUCCUAUUGAAUGUUCAAGUGCUACGGCCAGGCAUCGAAUGCCUGCACGGAACCUUCCUAUUGAAUGGUUACUCUAGAGAUCAACGCACCGCGAGACAUUUUUAUGGAAUUUGUUUGAUUCCCCUUCUACAAUUAGAUUAAUUUUUCAUGGCAUAUAUUACUACUAUUAAAUUAUUUGUUUAUUGUCGGGCCUGCUGCAUGUGUGGUAUAUAUGACUUGCUUCUCACCAUUGUUCUCAAACUAUUAUUCCUAUCGAAUCUUUCUAUCGAAAUAUAUUUUAAUUACUUGAUUGUUGUUUGUGUACCAUAACUUCUGUAUAGAAAAAUUCCAUGUUUGUAGAUAAUGUCUUUUGUAUAGAAAAAUAGCCCAAUUAGAUCCAUCACCAUCUUUUGCUUAUGUAGUUGAACAAGUUGCAAUGUUGAACAAAACUUUAAGUGAAAUUAGACCAGGAAAAGGAAUUGUGGAACAUUAAGGCAAGGGUAACCAGAUUGUGGAAUGCAACCUUACUCAGUAGUGGCGAACAAUUAAGUCUUGACAUGAUCCUUAUUGAUCAAAAGGUAUGAUAGAUGUUCACUUUGAUUGCAUUAUUGGUAUAAUUUUUGGUUUACAAAUUAUUAAUGAUGAUGCAAAAUUAGGGAACCAUGAUCCACGGUGUUAUCAAUAAGCCCUAUAUGAAAAAGUUCAAACCAUUGAUUGAAGAAGGCAAUGUGUACAUAAUUGCAAAUGUCAGAAUCACACCAGAACCACAGAAGUAUCGGCCAGUGGAAAAUGACAGGAUAGUCAACUUCUUACCCACAACUGCACUAAAAACGAUCAAAGAUACUGAAGACAUUCCAAAGUAUAGUUUUAACUUCAUGAGCACGGAUAUGCUUUCAGCAAGAAUAAAUGUGGACAUGUACCUAUUAGGUAAAACAUUACUGGCUUUUCAAUUUUUACACUUCCACUCAUUAAAUGACCAUCUAAUAAUAAUACAUAUUUAUGUUUCAUAGAUGUUAUAGGUAUCUCAGCUCACAUUGGACCGAUAGAAGAAACAAGGACAAACUUCGGAUUUACUAAAAUCCGUGAUAUUGUGCUCCUGAUCGAGUAAUUCUCUUUUCUUUUGUAGAAAACAACUACAAAACUUUCAACAUUUACAUGUAUGUUAUAGAACUUCUGUUGAACUAAAAAAUAUCUUCUACAGUGCCCCUACAAAUAAUUAAUUUCGUAGUUGGAUAUUUAAAAUAUUUAUUAUUCACUUUUAAAUUUGUGGCCAUGAAGUUAAAGUUAGAUUUUGGGGAGACAAAGUUGAGGAAGUUGAUGAUAAGACAAAAUCCCAUGUCAUUGCAAUAACAUCUACAACUGUGAGUAAAUUUGGCAGUAAGUCUUCAUUCAAUAUGAGUUAUUCAAUAUUAGUCAUUCAACAAACUAACCUCGUAAGAAAAAUAAAUAAUUGAUGUUUUAUCAGGGUAUUCUCUAUCGUCAACCAAUGCAACAAAACUUUAUGUAGAUCUACCUAUUCCUGAAACUAAGGAUGCACAUGAUAGGUGAGAAAAAUUAGAUAUUGUUUUUCUAUUUUAAUCUAUGUAGCAUGCACUCUAACAUGAUACAUUCUUUCAUAUGAUAAAAAAAUGUUAGUUCAAUUGAAAAUAUUGUCAAAGAGAUUCAUAUUGAGGACCAUCUAAAAGGGACAUUGGAAGACCAAAUGCAGUACAAUAGAAGAACUUUAGAAGAAUUAAAUUUCAUAUUAUUUGAAACAUCAAAUCAGGUAUGGAUUAGUAUGUUCAUUGUACACUAUACUAUUUAAAGACUUACAUACAUAAUGAUGGUAUUGUUCCUACUUUCAGGAUGAGGUAUUUACUAUUGAAGCAACAAUAAAUGAAAUUAAUGCAACAUAUGGUUGGUUGUCACACCCGAUUUUAAGGACAAAAUUGAGUGCAUUAAAUACAUGUGCACCAGGAUCAAGUUACACACAUCCUAUGAGUACCGUCCUUCUUUGGCACAAAGAUAACCGGUGCUCCCCAUGGUGAUGAACUAGGCCGAAUAAACUAUUUUGCUGAUAAUUCCUCUAGUUGUUGUUUCAAUUCUUUUAAUUGUUCAACCAACAUUCUAUAAGGACGUUUGGAGAUAGGUGCAGUACCAGGUAAAAGAUCAAUAGCAAAUUCAAUGUCGCGGUCAGGUGGCAUACCUGGUAAAUCGUCGGGGAACACAUCCGGAUAGUCACACACCACUUUGAUAUCUUCCAAGGAUUUUCCAGCCAACUGAUUAACUGCACAAUCUGCUGCUGAGGGUAGAGUAGCUACAAACUCCACUUUCUCUCCAUCAGGACCUGUUAGCAGAACUGUCCUCUUGGCACACUGAAUCGUUGCAUCAAAAGCGGCUAACCACCUCAUCCCCAGAAUUACAUCGAUUCCACUGGACUCAAGGACGAUAAGAUCAGCCGGAAACUCUAUACCCAUUAUUCUCAGUUUAACUUGUGGACAGAUGUAUUGAGCCUUCAUUGACCCCCCAGGUGAACUCACUAGCAUAUGACGCCUCAUGGUAUGCAUGGGUAAAUUAUGCUUUGCUACAUAAUGACUAGUGACAAAAGAAUGCGAUGCUCCAGAGUCAAAUAAAACUGAUGCGGGGGCAGAGUUGACAAAGAACAUACCAAGCACUACAUCUGGAGCCUCCUUAGCAGUCUCGGCUUCCAUGUGGUUCACCUUGCCACAAACAAAGCUUUGCUGCCCCUGAUUGCCUUGUGGGGUCUGGUUCCCAUUCCUCGGUUGCUGCAUCUGAUUCUGCCGAGGAGCACUGCUGUUCUGCACGGGGGUAGCUGGCCCACCUCUCUUAGGACAAGAGCUGGCAUAGUGACCAACCUCGCCACACUUGAAGCAGGUAGGACCCACUGGAGCAUUGGGCCUUGUUGGAGUGCCAGUAGGGGUCAUCUGGCGGUUCUGCGUAAAGCUUGGGCGCGGAGUCUGCAUAGUCUGCAUCCCUGGAUGCUGGAACUGAGGGCUAGGGCGCUGGAAUGACUGCUGAGCAGGGCGCGGAAAUGAGUGCUGCCAAAAAUUCCCACUCGGGCCCCCUGCGCGGAACGGCGUCCCUUGCUGUGGAGCAAAGCGAGGGCGGGUGUUGCUUCCUGAAGACUACUGGGAAUUGAAUUUCCUCUUCAUCUCCCCGAGCUCGUUCCUCUUGUGUUCCAGGCCAAUUGCCUUGUCUAGCAUCUUCUGGAAACUGGGGAAGGUGUGCGACAUAAGCUGAUAUUGGAGUGGUCCAAUCAACCCAUCCAAGAAUAGCUCCUGCUUCUGCUCAUCAUCAGCAACAUCUUCGGGAGCAUAUCGGGACAACUGGACAAACUUGUCCCUGUACUCUGCCACUGUCAUGUUCCCCUGCUUGAGAGCAAGGAACUCCUUCUUCUUAAGCUUCAUCAAUCCGGAAGGAAUAUGAUGACUUCUGAAGCUAGUCCUGAAUUCAUCCCAGGUGAUGCCAUUAGCAUUGGCAUGGGUGGUGGUGUAAGCAUCCCACCAAUCAGCAGCUGGCCCUUCCAGGCGUCCUGAAGCAUACAGGACCUUCUCCCUGUCAGUACAUUGGGCGAUAUCCAGCAUCUUCUCCACUGUUUUCAGCCAAUCAUCAGCAUCUAAUGGAUCCGGAGAAUGUGAAAACGUCGGGGGCUUGUGGCUCAUGAACUCCCUAUGCCUGUCCCUUGGCGGCGGCUGCUGCUGGUUGUUGUUGUUGUUAUUGUUCAGCUGAGCUUGUAAAGCUGCCACGGUGUUGGUCAGUCCGGCGAGAAGCUGAGUCUGAGCUGCUAGAAACUGCUCCAUCCCUGCAGGUGCUUGUUGGUUCUGUUGCGGAGCGGUGUUGGGAUUGCUGCUGUUGUCCCUGUGGCGUGGCACUGUGGGACGGUCAACUCCUGAUCCGGACCUGGUGUUUACCAUCUGAGCGUUAGAGACAAUGGAUUUAGAUAGAUGUGUGAAAGAAUAACUGAGAAAGAUAAAGCGACCAGAUGUAAAAGUAACACAGAUUCUGUUAGCUCCAUUUAAUUAGGUGUGGUCGUCAGAAGAAGUGUCCAUAAAUUCUGAACAAUUACCAAGUCGUAACUUAUUAAAUUUGUAAACCAACCCAACUGGAAUCAUCUCAAUCGGACUUCUGGAUCUCGAGUUACAAAAUUAACAAGCUGACAGUGUCGGUCGAUAGGUUCAGAUUCUGAGUGCUUUACUAAUUCGCAUACACCUCCCAGACAGAUACACCAAAAAUUCUGAAAAAUUUACAGAUAGUACUCCACGAAAUUCUGAAACUAACCCCACUGGUUUCAUGUCAUUUGGACUUCUGUAGCUAGAGAUAUAAAUAAAAAAGUACUGGCGUGUCAGUUAAUGUCGAGAACAGAAUUGAAUGUCGCUUAGCUUGCGUGAUGGAUAGAUUUAGACAGAUGGUAGAUCAUGAUUAAGGAAGAUUAAAUACUGAUUUAGAACAGAAAUAAAACCCAACUAAGCACUUUAUUUAUUAAGACCAGUAUCGUGUGGCAAUUGCCCCACAUACCGCACUCAUUACAAAAUCCAACUCAAACAUGUAGCACAAAACCAAUCAUCUAAGCACACUUUAACUAACACACUCGAACGACGUCUAACGAUUACAAGAAUUUAAACUAAAACACUCCUAAUUUCCUAGAGGUCUUCUGCGGCGGUGCCGGGCGAGUCGUAGCGGGGACGCUUAGGCGACGGCGACGAAGCGGGAUGAACAGCAAACUCCUGCGGCGGCGGUGCUCCCGUCGCGGCAGCCAUAUUCGCAUCCCUCUCCCACCGGAGUUCCUGAACCUCCUGUUGAAGCUCCUGGAUGUGGUUGUUUGCUUCAUUCAAUGCGGUGAGAGCUGCCGACGUGUACUUGCGGAGGAAGUCUGUAGCCAUGUCAACCCCAUCGUUAGUAGCGAUGAAGGUUCUUGCUUCCCCACUAGCUCGGUAAGGAAGGAACCGAUGGUAAGUGUGCUGCAAUCGCGGCCGUUCCUUGUGGGAGACGACCUCAAGUGCCCUCCUGGCGGCCUCGGCAAUGCCGGAUUCCAUGGUCCUCCUUAUGGUCACAUCAUGGUGAAAAGCCUUCACCUCCCAUCCUCCCUCGUGCUCCUCACGAAGGACAACCUUCACCUCCCAAAAAGUGGGAUAGCGAGGGUGGGUGAACCGGGAGCACUUGUAGAGUGGCCUCAUGCCGUACCCCAAGCGGUGACAAGUCCACCUGAGUAUGUCGGCCAUGUGCACUCCUUGGCCAUAAUCUUCCUUCACCCAUUUGAUCCAUGUCUCGGGCUCGGGAUCUGCUUCGGGCUCAUCAUCCGUCAAGUCGACGACCGGUACGGGCGUCGGGGCUGGUGCAGGAGCGGGCGCCGGUGCUGGCGACGGUGCUGGUGACGGCGUGGUCUCCUGCUCCACGGUCACGGCGUCCCCGUCAGAGUCAUCCCCCGGAUGCUGGAAGAUCUCUUCCUCUUCUUCCUCGUCCCAAGGCUCCAUGGGGGCGUACGACGGCGCGAUGCCAUGACGCGGCGGACGGGUGCUCUUGCGUGCGGUCAACCGGGUGCGAGCCAUCUAACAGAAAGAAAGAAGAAAAUUUUAGAAUAAAAUUUUGAACAAAGCUAGAUAAUAAAAUAGCAAUAAGGAUGAGACAAAUCAAGUUUAAGAAUAAUUAAGUAGAUUUAAAUUAAGAAAGGUAGGAAUGGCUACUAGAUUAUUAUAAUCCUUAAAUACGACCAUUUUCUAACUAGGCUAACGUCCUACAGUCAACACGGCUCUGGUACCACUUUUGUCACACCCGAUUUUAAGGACAAAAUCGAGUGCAUUAAAUACAUGUGCGCCAGGAUCAAGUUACACACAUGUACGACAAUAGUGAAUAGUAAAGCCAGUGCUAAAUCGAAUAAAGAGAGUAUUAACCAUUAUUACAUGACCGAAUGUCUCAAAUAAACCACAAAGUCUAAUUAUUACGCAGCGGAACUCCAAAGAUGACGACGACUCCAUAGGCAGCUGACUGAAGAAACGUACGCCUAGAACUCCUCGAAGUCGUGGAAGUACUCCUCUUCCCAAUUAACUUGGUCUGAACAGCGGUUUUGCAAGGGUGAGUACACUUAUGGUUGGUACUCAACAAGUCGUGGGAAGUAGUGUAGUGUAAGGCUAAUUCAAGGUAUGGCUAAGGCGUAAAUAGCAUUCGCUUUUAAUUAAGUUGGUCAAAUUUUAUUAGCAUUUACUAAGUAUAAGUUCAUACCACCCGAAAUUAAACAUGAACAUAAAGUAAACCACAUGUGCAUGAAAUGAUAACAAAUUAAAUCCAUCUUCCGAUAAUAUUAUCAUGUGAGGGUCCAGGCCGCUCUUAACCGUGAGCACGGCUGAUUGAUCAGUUUAACACUCUGCAGAGGUGGCACAUCUUUACCCACAAGUCGCGUAAAAGUUCAAAAGAACUUUGGACCCAACCAUGCGGUGUUUGCAAGGCACCAUACCACACUUCCGAGGUGUGAUUGCAUAGGGACGCUACGAGGCCUUUACAAAGAUUCAUUAAUCAGUGGUAACCCGCUAAGGUUUCGGUGUCUGGCGUGCACCACCCAUCCCAGGUAAAAUGCAACGACUCAGUCCCCCCCCUUGAAUCAUCACGAGUAAGGUCACCCCAGACUAAGGUUUCUAAUUAAUCAGCCAAGACCAGAGCUAUUUAGUCUUGUGGUAGCACUGUUUUCCUGGGUGGUCGCUCCAUGUUCUGAUUAACAAAUAAUGAUCUUGUCUUAAUGAAAGGUAUAACAGAAAUAAGGCAAGAUUAAGCAUUGUUUUUAGUUAAACCACCAUGUACCAAGUAAGCACUAAGCAUGAGCUACCCAACAUAAAGUAAACCGGUUGGUCAAGGCAAAGGUAAAACAAUCUAGGCCAACCUUAAUUGGGACCCAUCAAUUUAAUCUUAAUAUGUGCACAGCAUAAAUGUUGAGUACGAGAAAGUAAAGGUGUAUAGGACAAAAAGGUAGUGAUCAAGGACACGACUUGCCUUCUUGGCCUUGCUCCUGCUGUUCGUACUCCUCGAAGGCUUGAUCGGCAACUCCCUCGAACUGCGGGGCGUCUACACGCAUCACACGAGCACAUACAAGCAAACAUGGGCAAAAGUAAGAAAACAGUAUACCAAACAUAGUCAAACAGAGAAAACAAGCUUGAAAAGAUGAUCUACGCUUUAAAACGAACACGCGGAUAUAAAGAACGCGAAAAACGGAGUUAAGAUGCAAAAGAUAUGAUUAAAACAAAAUCCAGGGACUUUUCUGUAAGAAAAACAAAACUUUUAGGGCCUAUCCGCGAAAACCGAGGGCUUAUACGUAAUUAUGCGUAUAAACCGAGGGUCUGAUGCGUAAAAACAUCAAACCCGGACGGCGGGUUGAUUUCUGGAAAGGUCAAGGGUUAAACCGAAAAAUGCGAGGGCAGAUCUGUAAAUACUUUCAACGCGAUCUGGACCGCGGGUUGAUUUGCGAAAAAGGCGGGGGCUAAAGUGCAAAAACUGCACGGCGCGGCUCGGUUGACCGGUACGCGAUCUUGAUUGACUCGCGUCCGGCCGUCGGAUUAAGAUCCGACGGUCGCGGUGAUCCGCGACAUCGCGGCGGCGGCGGCGAGCGGCGGCGAGCGGCGGCAAGCGGCGGCGGGUCGCCGGAGUUAGGCAAAAUAGCGCCACGAGGCACGGUUUAACGCGCGGGUUGCACCAAAAAAGAGAGGGGAACACGUCGAUCCCGUUUUGGGGGUUCUUGUCGACGGGGGCUCACCGGCGACGGCGAACGGCGGCGAGGAAGAGGCGGCGGCGCUAGGAGCUCGGGCGGCUAGGGUUUCGGGGAGCUGCGGCGCUGGUUUUGGGCGGAGGAGACUGGGAGGAGGCGGCGGCUUUUAUAGGGCUUGGAGAUAGAGCCGGCGCGGGUUCAAAUCCCCCGGAGGAGUCGGAGCGGAUGGAGUCCGGGGCGGAGACGGCGCGCGGCGGUUGCGGAGUUCUGACCGGAUUCGGCCGGAGGUGGGAGACGAUGGGUGGGGUCCACCCGUCAGUGGCGGAGGGGAGCGGUAGACGGGCCGGCGCGACCGUGGGCUGGCGCGCGCUCGUGGGCUGCGGGGAGCGGGAGAGAAGCGGCGAGCGGGCGCUGGCGGAGCAGGCCGAGCGGAGGUAGAGCUGGGCCGCGGAGAAAAAGGAGGAGGCCGGCGGGCUGCUUCGCAGGCCGGUAAGGAUGAGGCGGCCGGGCCGAAGAAGAAAAAGAAAAGGAGGGACAAGGAGCUUUCGGCCGAGGGAAAAGAAGAAGAAAAAGAAAAGGAAGAAGAAAAGGGAAAAGGUUUUGGAAUUUGAAUUUAAAUCUGAAAUUCAAAAUUUGAUUCAAACUCAAGCAACCAAAAAUUAUGCUCCAGCAUGAAUGCACAAAUAAUUCCUAUGAUGAAUUAAUUGAAUUAAAGAAAAUGAAUUUAAAUGCCUAGAAAUUAAAUAACACCCUAAUUUGAGCAAAUUUUAAUGAAUUUGAAUUAUUGAAAUUUUGGGUGUUACAUUGGUACUACAUCUCAUGUAGUAGAGGCGAUUGUAAGAAGCAACUUGAAAAGAAGUUUGAUCACUACUAUUGCAAUAAAUGUGACAAGAGAGCCGAACCUAAAGCCCAGUAAAUUAUUUAGUAGUUUACAAUCUUAUUAUAAUACUUCUAUUUCUAAUAGGAGAAUAAUAUUUUCAGAUUCAAAUUAAGCUUCAAAUAAGUGAUCCAACAACAAGUGCAACUUGUGUACUUUUGACAAGGAAGCAGAAAUGAUAAUUAAUGAAUGAGCAGAUUCGAUGAUCACCUCAGUUGAUCAUGAUAAUAAGUAGCUACCAAAAUCAAUUCAGGAAAUAUGUGAAGAAACAUUGAUUUCUCAAUUCAGAUUGACCGAGUACAACUUGACAAGUUUUAGACCUGAUUAUACUGUUUCAAAGAUAUUUUUUCCAAAAGAAAAGGGCAGUUCAAGAAUUGGUAUGGAAAGUGUAAAAAAGGUAACACUUUAUUAUUAAUUUUUUAUUGCACUUUUUUCUUUUGAAUCCGUAAUACUUAAUAAUUUUACUAUAUCAAUGAAACAAAUUCUAACCUAAAUUUAUUUUCUUUUUUAUUAUUUGUAGGAAGUAGAAGACAACUCAGACAAAUGCUACACGAUAACUACCGAGAAUGAAGAGGUAGACACUGAUGACUCUUUUACCGAGAAAGUAACAUUCGUAGAAGAAGCCAUAAGGACUGGGGAAAGAUUGGCUAGAAAAGUAUACUCACUUCCAUGUCAGUGUUCAUUCUAUUUACAAUACAUGCAAAAAAAAUAUUAUUCAUGCAAAAUUGCAGGUCUACUAAGCAUUAAAGGAAUAGCGGAUAGUGCAAUAUGUAAUCUGAGCAGCAUGCAUUACAAAGUGCUCUACUGCAAUUAAAUUAAAAAACAUGAUAUAUGUUGAAUUCUUAGACUUUAUUAUUAUACUUUUCUACGUGACAAUUCACAAUUUUUUAGAAAAAAGAAGAUCCCAGAAGAAGUGACCAUGAAAAAAGGUCUAUGACCAGCAAUAAGAAAAAAUGCAAGCAUAGAAACAAAUCCGUAGAAAACAUAGAAAAUAAGGUACUCCAUAAACAAAAGUAUUCUCUUAUAUUUUUAUUAAAUAUUUUUUUAACACUUGACAAGUUCUUUUUUAGGAUCAAUAUAUCAGCAAUUCAGAUGUCAUUGGAGAUGAAACCUUAGUUCAUCCAAAAGGUCAAAAAAAAACAUCUGAAGAAAGGUGUUUGGCUGAAAAGGAAAAGCAAAAAAGUGGUAAUGCAGACAAACACAUGCAGAAAAAUAUAAAAACAUGUCAUAGGGAGGCAGACCAAUCUUGCAAGGAGGUAUAGACGAAACGUGAUACACGACCUGCCUACCUUGUCGUGGAUACCCCAAGAAGAUGUCAUAGAGGUGCAGACCAAGCUAGCAAGGAGGUCGAAACGUGAUACACGGCCUGCCUACCUUGCCGUGGAUAUUAGCCCUGAGAUCAUUCUACUGUUCAAGGAAUAACACUCAAUGCUGCUGCUGCUGCUGACCUGGCUCCAUAAAGUUAUACUCCUCUAGGUGCUUGCACUAACUUUAUCUGAAGUAUUAUUCUCUCUGCACUGUAUAUAUGGUUAUGGAGUUUGCUGGAGUAUCCGGGGCGAAGAACCUACAUAAUACGUCUUGGAACUAAUUGACAUUGAUUCACAGACAAACUCUACAAGGUGCUGUUCUUGCCAUUUUAGAGCAUCCAAAGGACUAUAAAUAACAUAGUUUACCAUAUACCAUAUACCAUAUACCAUAAUAUGUUAGCUAAAAUAAGAGCAUACACAUGUUGCAGGAGUCCAAAAGCACCGGUUGAGGACCAGGUACAUUGAAUUACUAGAAAAAGACAGGGGACAAGGUUUAGGUAACCACAUGAAACAUUUGAAUUUAUUGUACUAUGAACACUUAGUUACCAUGCCAGGAGCACAUAGUUAACACUAACAUUUAGCCACUUUAGAUCAUCCCGAAUCACCAAUGACCCUCAAUAGUGACAAAUUUUGGUUUAAAUGCCAUCACCAAUGAUCCUCAAUAGUGACGUAUUUAGGUUUAAAUCCCGUCACUAAUAACCCUCAAUAGUGACCUGUUUUGGUUUAAAUCUCAUUACCACUGAUCCUCAAUAGUGAUGUGUUUUAGCAAAACAUGUUAUCAAUGACUUGUCAUUGGUGACGUGUUAAAACGCGUUAUCUCAAUGGCAAAUCAUUGGUGACGUGUUAUCUCAAUGUUAUCAAUGUUCUAUUCUUUUCAACAAUACCAGCUCGUUCCUCCGUUUUUAUUCCACCAAUACAAGCACCACCUUGUAACAUUUCCUAUGUUUUUUUUCCUUUUGUCUGUUUUCUCACUACAUGCGUUGCUCUUUCAUGCAUUUUUUUCCAUUCCUGUAUUCCAAAUAGGUCUACAUGAACACAAAAUGAACUAGGGGACAGAAAAAGCCAGUGAAGCCAAUUUUGAGCUUCACCAGCUACUUGCUACAUAAAGUGUGCUAUAGUGACGUGUUUUAGCAAAACAUGUUAUCAAUGACUUGUCAUUGGUGACGUGUUAAAACGCGUUAUCUCACUGGCAAAUCAUUGGUGACGUGUUUUAAAAAAACAUGUCACCGUGAGAGUCAUUGGUGAAGGGUAAUUAAAAUGCGUCACUAAUGUUGUAGCAUUAGUUAUGAUAAUUUAGUAACGCAAAAAUCUACCAUCAGUAUUGAGCUUUAGAGCCAUCGCUAAUGUGGGUUUCUUACAUAGUGAUGCAAGCUCUACAAGGUGCUGUUGCUGCCAUUUUAAAGCAUCCCAUGACUACAUGUUAAUAACAUAGUUUACCAUAUAUCAUAAAAAUAUUAGUUACAAUAAGCACAUACGCAUGUGGAAGAGUCCGAAUGCACCGGUUGAGGACUAAACACAUUGAAUUACUAGAACCAAAUGUAUGUUUAGAACAAAGACAGGGGUCAAGGUUUGGGUAACCGCAUUAAAAACAUUGGAUUUUACUGUACAUGAACACUUAGUUACCAUUACCAUGCCUUGAGCACCUAGUUACAACAAACAUUAAUUUAGCCACUUUAGAGCUUCCAGAAUCGCUAUAAAUAAUAUACCUACGCCGUACCAUGAAAACAUCAAGAAGAGAGACGGAUACAUGGACCACCAUCAAGCGAGUAGUGACAGCACGCACAAGAAUACCCGGAACCUGUUAGCUUGUCUGUAGUGAUCUGUUUUCUUCCCCAUAAAAUCCAUGAGUAUUGCCACAAAUAAUGAAAGAGGCUGACCAAGCUAGCAAGGAGGUAGAGCAAACGUGAUACACGGCCUGCCAAGAUUGCCCUGGAUACGCCAAUAAGAGCGACAGAUACAUGGAUCACACCAAUAUGGUGAAACGUAUAUUCAUCACACAAGCAAAGCUGGUCAGUUUAUCCAUGGUCAAAUUGUGGUCUUUGUUUUCACUUGAGAGCUAAUUGAGGCACUAUAAUAUGGGCAGGCCUAUCUUCAACAGACAUGACAGCUACAGGGAACUUGACAUAAUUUGCUGGGCCGCCUGUGCACAAUUAUUUGUUUUAUUGUCCUUGCAUAGAAUGCUAAAAUACUCUUUACAAAAUGUUGGAUCUAAUAUUUGAAAUAUAGAGUAGUAAUCAUAUAUUGAUCAACAACUUGAAAUUAUCUGUACAUUCUCGGUGAAGCUGUUGAACUAAUUUUUGCAAAUUAUUAAUUCAUCUCAUUACGUAAAGAAAAAAGUAAGUGGAUAAGAUAUUUCGUGGACCACAUCACUGCAAACAUGUCAUGGAGAGACAGACCAAGGAGGCAGGACGUGAUACACGACUUACCCUAGGUUGCCGUGGAACCGCCAAGAAGAGAUACAGAUACAUGGACCACACCAUCUUGGGAGUAGUGACAGCAUAUAUGCAGAAGAAUACCCCGUGCCUAUUUGCAUGCAUGUCUCAAGUGAUCUGUUUUCUUCAGAAAAUACAUGAGCAUUGCCAGAAAGAAUGGCAAGAGACAAACAUGUCAUAGAGACUUGCAUGUCUUGCCUUGGAUACGCCAAGAAGAGGGACACAUACAUGGAUAACACAAAUCUAGUGACACGUAUAUUCAUCACAAAGGCAAAUCUGAUAAUUUUAUCCAUGGAGCAGACCAAGGAGAAAUUGAUGACGGACAUGUGAUCUCUGUAUUCAGUUGAAAGCUAAUUGAGCUACACUAAUAUGAGCAGGACUAUAUUCAAGAGACUUGUUGAGAGCUACAGGGAACUUGUAAUAAUUUGCUGGGCGGCCUGCGCACAAUGAUUUGUUAUACAUAGUUGAAAUAUUUCAAGAAUUUAUCAACCUCAUACUCUGAAACCCUUGGUGCAAUGUACUCUGCUUUCCGAGGUAGACUGUUCACGUAAAAUGAGGUCAUGCGUAAGACGGAAUCGGAUUGGAUUCACAGGGAAUCAGAUUUGGAUAGCACCUUUUAGCAGGUUUUUAGUCAAAUGCAAAUUCGGAUCCACAUGUGGUUGAAUGCGAGUUCAAAAUUCUACUUGGAUAUCCAUUUAAUUUAGGUGAUAGCAAUUAGCACAAAAUGUUGGAUGAACAAAAUCAUAGUUAGACAUACAAUUACAUGUAUGGUUAAAGUAUAAUACAAUACACCAAGAUUAUUCCUUGAAAAUAUUUCUUAAAAAUAUUAUAAUAAAUGAAUAAAUAUAAUUGUGGCCACCAACAAAUAGUCGGUGGUCGCUAAGUUGGAGCCAUUUCUGGUUACUAAUGCGGCCUUCUCCUCGACCAGCGACGACAGCUGAGCUUGUUCCUUCUGACACUAAAUCAUCAGAGUCUUCCCUCCACUACUAUAGAAUGCACCUUUAGCACCAAUUGGGAAAUCCCCUUCAGUAUUGGAUGCUGCAACCAGUGCUAUAUAUCAAAAUGGAGACUAAAAGCCUCGGUCUUGGGUACCGGUUGCAUAACGCAUUACUAAAGGAGGCAAAAGAGAAAUGUAACAAAAAAAAUAUUUUGAAUUCCAAGAAUGUUUCACUAUUCAAGAUGACUAGCUGAGAGUCAACAGACAAGAUACUAGGAAUGUGGGUGCUUGAAUGCAUUUGUACAGAGGUCAUACUAUUUACAAACUCUUCUAUGUUUCCAUAUGACUACCUACUUCAAUGUCACGCGAGCCAUUCAGCUGGACACAUGGCACACUAGCUUGCAUGUCGAAUCCAUGAUUAAUUAUUUGCACUUGUGAUCUCUUACCAGUAUUUGUCCAGACUAGAAACGUGCAACACAUUUUUAGGAUAUGGACACGCAUAUAUUUGGACUAGUAUACAGGUCACCUUUGGAUGCGUACAAGGAUGACCGGGAGGGACUAAUGGAUACAAGGAAGGGACCAUCAGGAUUAAUAUUGACAUAUGCCACAUGACAAUCUUCAUUGUCAUGCAAUCCCUAUCAACAAUCAUGGAAUCCCUAGUGUACUAAUCCCUGGAGGGUUGUGUGGAAAUUUAUUUUACCUUGCGGUGAAAAUCUCAUGAGCAGUCAUUAGUUAAGCUGACUAGCUGAGAUAUAAUAGACAAGCUAGUAAGAUUGGGAGCAUCAAUGCAUCCAUACAGGGUCACAAUAUCCUUUCCAUUCACUUUUAUAUAUAACCCUACGAAUACAAGUCCAACGAAAUGCGGGCCUUUCGAUCAAGAUAAAUUAAAUGGCCCACUUGUAUUUCUAAUCCAGGAUUAACUAUGCCCUCUGUUCAUCUCUUGCAAGCACGUGCAACACAUUUUCACGAUAUGGACAUGCAUGGAGGUUAUUAUACUGUUUGGACAAACUCUGAUGUGCCAUGACCUAAAUGCUUAGGGCCUGUUUGGUUUGAGUUGCUUAUUAUAAGCAACUUAAAGUUGCUUAAAGUUGCUUAUUUGAAGUUGCUUAUUUUUAGUCUAAACUGUUUGGAUACCCUUGCUUAUGAGCAUUGAAUGAGUUGGACAUUGUCAAAUUUGCCCCAUGUGUUGCUACCCCUCCAAUUUGCCUCCCCACCCUUCUUCUUCCUGCACACGUCCGAUCCCGGGGGCCGACGGCGGGCAGGGAGCAGCAGCAGCUGGCCAGGGCGGCGGUGGGGCGGGAGCGGCGGCGCACACCAGCACGCGCUCGCACGCCAGGUGCUAGGGCGCGGCGAGGCAGUCGUCGUAGCCCACCGGGAGCGGGUGCUCGGGCGCGAGGCGGUACUCGACGGAGAUGCCGAGCGUCGGGCGCGCGGCGGCGAGCGCGUUGAGGAAGCGAUGGUAGUGCGGCGACGUCGCGGACUCCGCCACGAAGCCGCCGCCGUGGACGUACACCACCACGGGCAGCUUCGUCUUGCCGUCGGCGGCCGCGGCCGCGGCCUGGGGUGGCAGGUAGAGGCGGACGGAGCAGGAGCCGAGGUCGACGUCCCUGGAGUCGACGCCCGUGGCGGCGUCCAGGCUGGGCCCGACCGGCGGCGGCACGAGCGGGCGCUCGAUGCGGCCGCUCUUGUAAAUCCGACGGGUCUGUGCGGAGGCGGGCGGCGGGCGGGAGCGGCGGGUGGGAGCGGCGGCAGGUGGUGCGGAGGCCGGCGGCGGCGGGUGGCGCGGAGGAAGGGGAGCUGGUGAGUGGUGACAGGGGAGGGGGGGAGAGAGAGGGGGGGUAGGGUGCAUUGAAUGAGGGCAGGAGGUGUAAAGUGCACCUUUUAGUCCCCAUGAGCAACCAUAAGCAGCCCAAGAGUUGCUUAUUUGCUUAUAAUAAGCAACCUCAUAAGCAAGAGUGAUUGGUUUCAUAAGCAACUUAUUUGCUUAUUUUAAGUUGCUUAUGCAUAAGCAUGUGAAACCAAGCAGGUCCUUAACCUAUGGUUGUGGCACCACACAGUACAUAGUAUUUAAUAAUGCUAUUCGUUUGGUAUGUGCACAAGGGCACGCAUGAAAUGUCUGGCCCACGGUAAACAAGUACGGACGCUGCAAAUAAUCUACUCUGCUCGUCCAGUCCCUAGCCUAUAAAUAGAUGCCAUGCUAGCUCUUGUUGUGCUCACAAUUAAUCCUGACUACACACGAGCUUCUCUCCCUGGCCAAGACACAAUCAUAGUAUGAUGAAGAACAUGGCACUAGCCGGCAAUGGUAUGAAGAACUUAAUCCUCGCUGUUCUCUUACUGUGUCUAGUUAUAGGGCAGAUACAAGUGGAAGCUAAGAGCUGCUGCCCAUCCAUUACUGCAAGAAAUAUCUACAAUGCCUGCCGUAUCACGGGUACAUCCCGUCCAACGUGUGCAAAACUGUCAGGCUGCAAAAUUAUCAGCGGGGACAAAUGCAAGCCCCCUAACGACCACCUCACCCUUGACCCGGACACUGGUAAAUAAUAAAUUUAUCUCACUUGAUUUCUUCGUGUUUUGAGUCGUUAAUGUAUUUUCCAUCUGAUGAAACGUAUUGGUUUUGCAUUGAAGAGGAAGUUAAUGUGCUUAACUUCUGCAAGUUGGGGUGUGCGUCGUCUGUGUGCAACAACAUCAACGCUGGUAAGCACCUUUUGCUCAGACGGAGAAAACAAUAAUCAUUAAUUAGCGGCAGCUAGAAUCCUAUAAUCUAAUAUAUUUAUAUAUAUAUAUAAUUUUAUCAGCUCUGGGAAAUGAAGAGGCGAACGAUGCCGUUGAGAGUUGCGACCAAGCCUGCUCUAGCUUCUGCAACGUGCACGUUGGCGCUGCCACCGUGGUUGCUUAAGCAAAUGCAUCCAACUGGAUCGUCCUUGUGCUAAAUAAUUGGAUAUCGUAUCCACUUAAAGCUGCCUUGUGUAGUACGUUUUUGUUUGUGUCUCUCUUUAUAUUCCAAUAAGGUCGGUGAUCUUGAUGCCACACACUCAGACGUGUGUUCAUCUCCAGAUACUACUCCAUGCUACCUGCCCUUUGUGUUUUGUUCAAUAACUGGGUAUCAUAUCCCAGCCAGUGUGCCAUCUGUUUUGUGUUUAUUUCCUUCUAGUUUCAAAGGGGUUAUCAUGAUGUUACCUUCUUUCGAUAUGGUGCUUUGCAUGACUACUGUUGUAUGGUACCAUCUUGUUGGCCAAUAAAUACAUCUUAUCCUAUGACC